UACAGAGCCCAUUAAUCAAGGUCCCAUAAGUGACUUCAUUAAAGCGAAAUCCAUGAGCCAGCACUCUGUCAUGAAAGCGCACUGCUUUUUCAACACUACCACAGAGACAGAGACCUUUCAGGAUUGUUGUCAAUGUUACCGUAUUAGGUUGAUAAUCCAUUCUGAAAAUCUUGGCCAAUACAGAAAAAGCAAGCGUCAUACGACCCAUGCCGCAACAACAAUUAAUUACGAUGCUCAAAGUAACUAUGCUGGGCGCGAUUCCCCUGACUUGCAAUUGCUGAAAAAGGGAAACGGCGGCGUGGAAAUGCUUCGUCUUGGCAAGAGAUCCCAAAAUCUUGGUGAAUUGGAUGAUGGAUGGAGGGCGACGCAUAGAGACCAUGCGAGUGAAGGAAUCAACAGCAUCGUCAACUUCACGAAGGGAUGGAGGCUCAGAAUGAAAGUGAAGGCUUGUCCAUGAACAGGAACAGGAAGGAGGGAGAGUAGAGAGUGGAACAAGAUUAGGGAUUUGACGAACAGAAUACCUAAACCUUGUUGCAUACAGCAUUGUUGAUUCUCCUUCUGAAUUCUGAAUAACAGCCACCUCCCAACUCUCAGAAAUUUGCUACUGCAUUUACAUGUCUAGAUUUUUAUUACUUUUUAUAAACUUUUUUUUUUUACAGAAUUAUUUUUUAUUUAGUAAAAAUCAUAGUUAUCAUAACCGAACCAGUCAUGUUACUGGGUCACUGGGUCAUUGGUUUAAUCGGUGGGUUGCUGGUUGAACCGAUUGACCCGGUCCUAUAUAAAUAAAAAAUAAAAUAUAGUAAAAAAUUUAUAAUUAAAAAUUUAAAAUACAUAUUUUUACUAAUAUUUUAAAAAUAUCUAGCUAUUCUAAAUAAAUUGGAACAAUAAAAAUAAAAUUAAUUUAAGAAUGAGUGAGUUUAUAAUUAAAAUUAAAAUAAUUUAAAUAGAAGUAAAUUAUUUGUUGAAAGAUAUCAAUAUAUAUUUUAGUUUGUAUAUAUAUUACUAACAAGCAAGUUAGUCUAGUUGUCAAUGAUACCCUUUAUAACCUUGAGGAAGGGGGUUCGAACCCCAAUUGUUUCAUUUUAAAACAAUUUUGAAAUUGAAACGGUUCGGUUGGACCGGUCAUUACCGAGUUUGACUGGUUUUUACCGGUUCAUUCUGGAUUUGACCGGUUCACAGCGGUUCCUUAUCUUGUGCGGUCCAAUUAUCAAACCGGUCAUUACCGAGUUUGACUGGUUUCUACCGGUUCGCACCGAUUUAUUACUUUGUGCAGUCCAAUUAUCAAACCGGAUCGGUGUAGGGUUUGAUUUACCGGUUUUUCGGUCGAAACGGCCGAUCCGGUUCGGUUCUGAUAACAUUGGUAAAAAUUUAAUUGAUAGUUGUUAAAUAAUUUAAUUGACUAAAAUUUUAUCUAACAACUCUCAAUUUUUAACUGUACCUGAAUUUUUACACAUAUUUAACAUAGACGAGUGAUAUGGUGUAGAACUAUAAUUCUUUGUUCAUAUGUGGAUGUCAUUUGUGGAGAUAUAAAAGUGGUAUGAUAUUACUUACGUAUAAAUAUAUGGUGUAGAACUAUAAUUCUUUGUUCAUAUGUAGAUGUCAUUUGUGGAGAUAUAAAAGUGAUAUGAUAUUACUUACGUAUAAAUGUGACGGAAGACAAUUAUUAGAAUUGUAGGACCCAAAUACAGUUUAAAAUAACAGUAUUACAAGUAAUGAUGUCAUUUUGUUUUAGUGCUGAGACAUUAUCAGUAGAUAAUUAAUAGAAUAAUUAAAAAGAGAUUAUAAUUUGAUAAUUUUUGAGAAAGAAUUAACUAAUAAUUUUUUAGAAUGUUAUUAUGUUUUGGACUUAGAUUUUUAUUACAAUAAACACAAGUAGUGAUUUAAUUUAUAAAAGAAAGUUAGGAAAAGUUAUCUAACAAAAAUAAAAAUAGGAAUACUGGAAUAGGCUCUCUAACAAUACCAAAAUUAUAAUUAUUUUAUUUAAAUCUUGCGUUAGUCAUAAUCAUGAUCAUAAUCAUAAUUUAUAUUAGUAAUGAUAAUGAUAAAUUGUAUUACUCAAUUAGUAGUUUAUUGCCUAUUUUACACCUUUCUUAAUUUUACAUAAUCUAAAAUAUAUUUGAAUAAAUCUUUUUUUUUUGAAACUAAAGGAGCUCAACACACUAGGUGGAGCAUUUAACAUCAAACAAAACAAAAAGAAUUAACUCAAAAGAAGCCAACAACCAAAAUAAAGUAGCCUCGCAUGUCGUCUCUGGCAUAGCCAUCAACAACAUUUGGAAUGGUCACCUCCCCACUCGUUAUAACUGAGCAUGGUCAUAUGGAUAAUUUCUUCUACACCUUUGGUUUGAUUCUGAAAUAUUCUCCUGUUCCUCUCCAUCCAAAUGUGCCAUAUGAUCACACAAAAGCACCUCAUACGCUGAUGUCGAGCCUCUUUCCCACGCAACCCCUCUGUCCAACUUAGAAAGUGGUCCUUCAUCAACCUCGGGAAAGACCUUAGCUGGCCAAAGAUAGAUACCCAAGCAUUCCACACCCGCCAAGCAAAUUCACAUUCAAGAAACAAGUGAUUGACCUGCUCAACAUCGUUAGUGCAUAAAAUACACCUCGUAUCGUCCUGGCUAAUUAUCCCGAGUCGACUCAGCCGUUCCUUGGUAUUCACCCUGCCUACCAGAACGAACCACGCAAAUAGCUCCACUCUUGGUGGAACCAACCCUUUCCAGACGGUCUUUGUGAAGCUGUAGCUGGUGACCUCCUCAGAUAGCAAUCCUUCUUGUAGCACCUGCACAAAGGAGUUAGUCGAAAAAAUACCAAGUCUAUCAAAUUUUCACACAACUCUAUCCUCUCUAGUAUUCACUAGCCUGACAGGUCUCAACGUCUCAUGUAACUGACUCAGAAGGUCUAACUCCCAUUGGAACAGCUCUCUCCUCCACAGGAAGUUCCAAACCCACUCUAACCCAUCCCAAAACCCGCAAUUCCCAAUGACCGAACCACAUUGGUUUGAAACAGAGAAGAGCCUAGGGAACCGAUCUUUCAAGGGUCCACACUGUAACCAAACAUCCUCCCAAAACCGAGUCCUUUGUCCAUCGCCAAUUUCUAUGGCCAAGCCUGUGAUUAGCUUAUCCUUCAGAUGUUGCUCCGUAAUUUGCAUCUGGCAAAUAUCCUUCCAUGGGCCUCCUCUUGUAGGCACCACUUGAGUGAACAGUAACUCAUUCGGCCUCAGAUUAUUACAGGAACAGACUAUCUUCUUCCAAAGCGGGCACUCCUCCUUAACAAAGCGCCACCACCACUUAAACAACAAGGCAGUGUUACGGAGCAUAGCAUCUCCGACACCCAACCCACCUAGUUUUUUAGGGGCUUGCACCAACUCCCAUCUCACCAACGCCAUACCAUGCCUUCCAUCCUCUUUGCUCCAUAAGAAUCUUCUUUGCAGGAAAAUCAACUUUUGAGCAACUGUCUUCGGCAUCUUAUAGAGGCUCAAAUAAUACACCGGAAGGCUAUUCAAGACUGAUUUGAUGAGCACCAACUUGCCCGCUUUGCUUAACACAUUCGCUUUCCAAAGGCUUAGUUUCUCCUCCACUUUAUCGAUGAUAGGCUUCCAGGUUUUAACCAGCCUCGGAUUAGCUCCUAGGGGGACUCCAAGGUACUUGACAGGAAGGGUAUCUUUCUUACAACCCCACAGUCUACACAUACCACAUACCCACUGCUCUUCACAAUUAAUAGGAAUCAAGCUGGAUUUUUCAAAAUUGAUACUGAGCCCUGAUAUCAACUCAAAACACCGCAGUAGCCGCUUGUAGUUCUUCAUUGUCUCAUCCUCAGGGGGACAAAACAGAAUUGUAUCAUCAGCAAACUGGAGGUGUGAUAACUCCACCCUGUCUCGGCCAACCACCAACGGAGAAAUACGUCCGUUCCUGACAGCCACACCAACCAUUCGAUGCAAAACAUCCACAACCAAUACAAAUAGGAACGGAGAAAGCGGAUCACCUUGUCUCAAGUCCCUUUCCAUUUUAAACGGUUUCAAUGGCGACCCAUUAAUCAGGACCGACAUAGAAGCUGUGGUCACACACUCCAUAAUCCACGCCCUCCACCUGCGCCCGAAUCCUAUUUUUUCCAUCACAAUAUCCACAAAACUCCACUUGACUUUGUCAUACGCUUUUUGAAAAUCUAGCUUGAUUAUCACUGCCUCCUUUUUUCUCCCUUUAAGCCAGUGCACUGUUUCACACGCUAUGAGAGUCCCAUCAUGUAUUUUUCUACCCUUCACAAAAGCACUCUGAGUCUCCCCUACCAGCCUUGGCAUCACUGAUCUUAUCCUCCGCACUAGAACCUUCGAAAUAACCUUGUAUACACAACCAACCAUACUAAUAGGUAUGAGGUCUUUAAUCUCCCUUGCGCUGAUGAACUUAGGGGCUAGAGCCACCCAUGUGAUGUUGGAAUAUGUCGGUAAUCUGGACGUCUGGAAGAACCUCAUCACUGCUGUCGUAAAUUCAUCCCCAAUCUCAUCCCAGCACCUCUUAAUGAAGUUCAUGUUAUACCCAUCACAGCCUGACGCCUUUGAUGACUCACAAUCCCACACUGCCUCUCUAAUUUCCUCAGCCGAAGGCAUCGCCUCCAAGGUUACAGAUUCUUCCUCCUCUAUCCUUUCUACUAGACCAUCUCUAAACCCCAACAUGGGAGAAGUCUCCUGAUGAUAUAGAUCUUUAUAAAACUCUGUAAUUGCUAUUUUGAUCCUAGCUUGGUUCCUUAUCAUUCUCCCAUUAACUAUCAGAGUAUCAAUUCGAUUAUUCCUCUGCCGUGCAGACGCUAUAUGGUGGAAGUAUCUUGUGUUUCUGUCCAUAUCUUUUGCUUGCCGAGACCGAGACAUUUGUUUCCAGUGAAUUUCUUUCCUCGCAUACCACCUCUCACAGCAAGUAACUAGAGCCUUCCUUCUGGCCUCAAUAGUCUCAUCAUACACUCCAUUACUUACCAUAUCAUCCACCUUUUUAAUCUCUUCCUCAAACUUCUCAAUCUUCUUAUCCAUCUCACCAAAGUUCUCCUUAUGCCAUCUUCCCAAAGGCACCGUUAAGGCCUUCAAUUUCUCUGUAAAAUCCAACUCCCCAAGACCUCUCCAUUCCUCCUUGACCAUUCUAAGAAAACCUUCAUGUGUAAACCACGAAUCAAGACUUUGAAAAGGCCUAGGCCCUCCCCUCAUCCUUUUAUCUUCCACAAUGAUAGGACAGUGAUCUGACAAGCCCCGUGGUCCACCCCUUAACCGGGUCUCAGGGAACUCCUCCAACCAUUCUACACUAACCAAAGCUCUAUCAAUCCGACUACAUGAACGGCCACGGAAUAACGUGAACUUGCGAUCCGUAAGCGGCAGAUCCACUAGGUGCAUGUCUUGGAUCCAGCUCCUGAAUUCAUCUGCUGACAGAGACAAACUAACAGUACCUUUUCGUUCUUCUACAUUCACAAUCUCAUUAAAAUCACCUAUGAAACAGCAAGGAACCUGACAUAAGCCAGCAAUGUAACUCAACUCCUCCCACACAUGACUCUUCUCUUCUCUAGUAUGUGCACCAUAGACUAAGAAAAAAGCACAAUAAAAACUAUUCUUCAGUAUGAUACCUUCAACGCAUAACCACCUCUCACCCUUAUAAUAGUUAUUCAGUUUAAAAAAAGCUUCAUCCCAAAUCAACAAGAGACCACCAGAUGCACCGUCCAAACCUACAUAUUCCUACCCUGCCACACUAUCCCCCCAAACCCUCCCAACAUCAAACCUGGUCGCAACCUGUCGUUUAGUCUCAAUCAAGCCUACCAUACUCAAGUUAUGUUUAUUUUUCAAUUCCUUCACCAUUCUCAUCUUUCCGUCACCCCUUAACCCCCUAAUAUUCCAAGAACCGAAAUUCAUUUGUAACUAACUUUACACACCUGUUUUUUGGUUUUGGGUCUGCACCUCCUCAUCUUUGCCUUCUGUUUUGCCAAUUUCCUUUUAUGUGCUAUUUCUUCAUUUUGUGCCUGGAGGAUUACCAUUAUGUCAUCUUCUUCAUUGCAUAACACAGCUCCGGAUUCCUUCGCCAGCUCCCAAGUCAAUUUGUUCUCUAAGAUCUGAUCCUUUAAGCACUGAGAGUCACUGCCCCCGUCCUCUUGCUCCCCAUCAAACUGCUCUUGUUGAACGCGUCCAAUACCUUCCACUGUUUUGCCAACAGAUCCACCGCCUUCAUCCCGGUCCAGAAUCGUCACUCGACACUGUUCCCUGUACCCUGACGUCACACCAAAUUCUGGGUCUUGGACCGCAUUCCACUCGCCAUCUACCUCAACCUCCUGCCCCUUCCCAACGGCAGCUUCUCGGACUACCUUCCUUAUCGUGCCGACCGUAGUUCCGUCACCCACAGAAUGGCCGAACGGAAAACCCUUCCUACUCCAGUGGCGGCUUCCCACAGAACCGGCGCCACCUAUCCCGACGUCUUCCCCAUCUCGAGCGAUCUCGUCGCAUCUGUCUCGGCAUCUUUCCGAAGCUGCUGGUUGCCGGUUCCCCCUAUCGCCAUCUCCAAGCCAGUAGUCAUCCAGUCCCCCGACGGAGCUCCCCGCAACCAGAUCUGGUUGACGCUGCGCAGGAGAAGGGAGAAGGCUCGAGCCCCCCUCCCCAACCGGGUCAUGUCCAGCACCCGUGGAGCACCGGCCCAAUCGGGUUCCAUCAUCCCAUUCAAUGGAGCCCCCUUUCCCAACCGGGCCUUGACCAGCAUCCGUUAAAGGCCAGCCCAAUUCGGUCUCCUCAUCCAUGUCAAUGGCAUUUGUUUUCCUUAGCCCAGCCUUCCUUAGGAUAUCUUGAUUUUUUUGGUUUUCCUUGAUAAUGGUCCUUGCACUAUAACAAUAUAGACUAUUUUUUAGGAUUAUUAUGUGUCAAAAAAAAUUAAAAUUUGUCAAAAAAAUAAAUUUUGAUACUAUUUUAACUAUGAAAAUAUGUUAAUAAAAGUUUUGUCAAAAAUAGUAUUUUUAACAUAUAAAUAAUUGUAAAAAAAAAGUUUAAAUCUUAUUUUGAUAAAUAUUGGCCGUCAAAAAUAAUUUAUUAGAAAAAUUUGAGAAUAUAUUUUUUGUGAUACUUAUUAACCGUCAAAAAUACUAUUUAUUUUGACACUUAUUGACCAUAAAAAAUUCUCAACAAAAAUUUUUAACAAAGAAUGAGAUGAGAUCUUGAAACUGAAGAAUAAACUGAGAUUUUGAAGAUGAAAAAUGAGUAGUAUGAUCCUAAACUGAGAGCAGUGUGAUGCCAAAAUUGACGGAGCUCAACGAAGAAAAGGAAUAAUAGAGUAAGUUGAAAACAAAUGAGUGUCAAAAUUGAGGAGUAAUUUUUUACAAUCAAAUUAUUCAUAAGAAAAAAUAUAGAGAAUUUAACAUUUGUGAUAUUUGUCAAAAAUAUAUAUUAAUUUUUACACUUAACUAUGACUGUUAAAAAAAAUCAUGUUAAAAUAGCUCUCUUUUCUUGUAGUGUUGGCAGCCCAUUAAACCUUUCCAGCCCAUUACAGAAAACACCAUACUCCCAUGUAACCGUUUUGGCCGACUCAGCCUCAUCACUAGCACCGCUUUCACCUUCAGAAACAGCAUUUCCUUGAUUACAGCCAUUAACAGAUUGGUCCGUUACUAAUUUACCGGGAUUUUGAUUUGCAUUGCAUUUAAACCACUCAUUCAAAAUAUCACUAGAAAUUACUAAUCUGCCCUCAUCUUCCUCCUCUCCCCAUUGCACCACCAUCAUUAGUCCAUCAUGUUGGUCGUCCAUCUUUGCUGGUUCCAUCUGUCUGAUCGGCCAUGCACCCGUUCCCGUGGCCGGAGUUGUGAUAACAUGGUUCGAGAUCUCACCGUCAUUAGUAUCAUUAACAAUAAACGUCCCCUGACACUGCAAGUCACAUGCAUGAAGACCAACUUCCUUCACUAAUACGUCAUAGUCCCCUAAAUCAACUGUAAUAUGAAUUCUCUCCUGAAUUACUUCCAUGAUACACGUGUCAACUAGUAUACGACCUGACGUGAACGUGCAGCACAAUUCUGUCUCUUUUGCACAUCUAACAACUGCUCCCCACUGUUCACUAUCAAUUUGAAGGUAUCUGCAGACCAAGCAGCCAGCGGUACACCAAAACAUUCGAGUCAGACCCUACGAGAUUCACAACGCUCCAACUCUUGCCACUUCCAAACCCGGUGAAAAGUUUGUAAAAGGAAAUUCAAUUUGAAGGUGUAUGCCUGAUCUGCAUUCAUAACAGUAUCAAAGGUCAAAAGUGCUUUGCAAGCUCCCAUUUCCCGAACUUGGACAACAGAAGGUAGGGAAAUAGCCACCAUUUUUCUCAACGAAGUGAAAUCAAUAGGCCCCAAUGUUACACCCACAAGACUUCUCUGCAGUCAUUCCAAGUUUCCUGGCGCCACUGCAACUUCCACAUUUUUUAUAUUACUUUUUCCGAUCAUGCUUCUUACCGUUUGCUUCGGUUGUAAUUCAUUCGCAGUCAACAAAUGGCGCUCUUCACCGUCUUCCCUCUGUGACUCCAGACUCAGUCGUUGGUGCUGAUCAUCUCCAACCCGUCCCUUUCUGACAUUUGUGGUGCCAGAAGAUCUUCUGUAUUUUGCCUCCUGUACCAUUAUAACCUUCCCUCGUAGUCUCAGCCGAUUCAUUUCUGCAAUAACUUUCAACUCGUUGAUGCGCCCAGUCCAGUUAAACAAGCAAAACAACUCCCUCUUGGAAAUGUCCUCUGGAAGAUGAUCCACAAAAAUGGAGAAAGACUCGUGUUCCAACCGUCGAUACUCUUUUCUGUUCCAAAUCCGUGGAUCCUUGUCAACUUCAUGAGACCUACCCGUCCCUGUGUUUCCCCUCCUCUCUCGCGCUUUUUCUCACUCUCUCUCACAUUUUCUCUUCCCACUAAAUUAAAAUACUUAAUUUUCUAUACUUUAAUUUGUUUGGUUCUUCUUCAAUCCUAGUCCUAGUAUAAUAAAAACAUAUAUAGGGCUUUCCCUCACUUGGAUUCUGAACAUGACAGGGUUGUUUCCUUGUUGAUCUUUUGUGCAAAAAAUUUAUUAUCCAUGUCUAUCAUUAAAUAUGAUCAAUAUAAUGUUUAUUUCAAUUAACUAAUCCAAUUAAAAUUUAUUCAUAUCAACUAAAAAAAUUUACACCAUAAACUAUUUAUAUAUCAACAAAUAUGCAAUCAAACAAAAAAUAAAACCCUAACAGCACAAUCUCAAUUUUUAACUACGACAACAUAUCUCAUCAAGUCAAUCUUACUUCUCUUUUAUUAGAAAAAUCAUCAUCGGACACUAAAUACAUUAUCAAAUGUCUUUAACUAAUGAUUUUGCAAGUUUAUGGCAAAUGAUCUUUUGUGCAAAAAAUUUAUUAUCCAUGUCUAUCAUUAAAUAUGAUCAAUAUAAUGUUUAUUUCAAUUAACUAAUCCAAUUAAAAUUUAUUCAUAUCAACUAAAAAAAUUUACACCAUAAACUAUUUAUAUAUCAACAAAUAUGCAAUCAAACAAAAAAUAAAACCCUAACAGCACAAUCUCAAUUUUUAACUACGACAACAUAUCUCAUCAAGUCAAUCUUACUUCUCUUUUAUUAGAAAAAUCAUCAUCGGACACUAAAUACAUUAUCAAAUGUCUUUAACUAAUGAUUUUGCAAGUUCAUGGUAAAAAAAAAAAAAAAAUUCCUUGCUUAAACAACUACUAGUACAAUUUUGUCACUGAAUUUUCCAAAAAUCCUUGUUACAUGAACGUGGGUUAUUUCAUCUUUAUUUUAGAAACCAACCACAUAUGAUACUAACAAUUUCAAUUCAUUAGAACUAAUAUCGUCACGACUUUUUUAUUCCGAUAAUAUUUUAUUACCAACAUUAGAAAUUAAUUCAAAAAAAAAAAUAUACGAACAAUUUUAUGAUCUAAUAUUUCUACAUCUAAUUACAACCCAACUUAAAAGUUAAAAAAAAUGUCAAUUAUAUAUUCUAUUGUUUUAGUGANNNNNNNNNNNNNNNNNNNNNNNNNNNNNNNNNNNNNNNNNNNNNNNNNNNNNNNNNNNNNNNNNNNNNNNNNNNNNNNNNNNNNNNNNNNNNNNNNNNNNNNNNNNNNNNNNNNNNNNNNNNNNNNNNNNNNNNNNNNNNNNNNNNNNNNNNNNNNNNNNNNNNNNNNNNNNNNNNNNNNNNNNNNNNNNNNNNNNNNNNNNNNNNNNNNNNNNNNNNNNNNNNNNNNNNNNNNNNNNNNNNNNNNNNNNNNNNNNNNNNNNNNNNNNNNNNNNNNNNAGCGAUAUAAUUACCACUUACAUUUCACAUUAUUUUUAUUUUUUUUUAUGUAUAAUUUUUUGAGAAAAACCCAAAACAGCCCUGACAAUUACCUUGAAAGACAACGAGGCUCUUGAAAAAAAAAAAAUUCAACCCGAUUCCUGACAAUUACUUCGAAAGGAUAACGAGGCCCCUGUGCCAAAAAAAAGUCAAUGUUAUUUUUUUUUGCACAAGGGCUAAUCUGUCCCAAAAAAAAAGAUCAGAGGCCGAAUUGGGUGUUUUUUUUUUAGGGACUUCGUUGUCCUUUCGAGAUAAUUGUUAGAGGUCGGAUGGGGUAUUCACUCUAAUUUUUUUUGUCUAAAGAAUUGUUAACCACUUGUCUUUAAUGUAUUUAUAUUUCUCAUCAUCAUACUUGUUUAGUUGUUUUCAGGAGUGUUCACAUAUACGAAUAAUUUGAUUAUCCAUUUAAAAUCGAUCCAACCCGAUUAUAUUGUUUCUGAAUUUAAUGAUAAUCAGGUAAAAUCGACUCAGAUUCGAUUAAAUCCGACCGUAAUUGAUUCGGGUAUUAGUUUUAAGAUCGCAGGAUCCAAACCAAUCCAAUUAGUUUAAUAUUAAUUAAAAAAAUAUAAUCUAAUAAUAUAUAUACAUUUUUAUUUAUUAACCCAAAAUUAUUCUAAUAAUAACAACAACAACAACAACAACAACAACAACAACAAUAAUAAUGCAUUAUCAAUUUAAACUUAAAUAACUAUCAUAAUUUAAAAUAAUUUUGGGUUAAUAAAUAAAAAUGUAUAUAUAUUAUUAGAUUUUAUUUUUUUAAUUAAUAUUAAAUUAAUUGGUUUGGUUCGAAUUCUGCAAUUUUAAAACCAAUACUCGAACUAAUUAAGGUUGGGUUUAAUUGAGUCUGAGUUGAUUGUACUUGAUUACCCAUUAAAUUCAGAAACAAUAUAAUUGGGUUGGAUCAAUUUUAAAUGAAUAAUCAAAUUAUCCGUAUCGAUAAACACUCCUGAAAACAAGUAAGAUGAUGAGAAAUACAAAUACAUUAAGGGCAAUUGGUUAAUAAUUCUUUAGACAAAAAAAAUUAUGUAUAAAAGACAAAUGAAAAUAAUAUAAAAUUUAUUCGUAAGUGGUAAUUAUACGGCUAAGGUAAUAGAAUAUAUAAUUGACAUUUUUUUACUUUUAAGUUAAAUUGUAAUUAGAUGUAAAAAUAUUAAAUUGUAAAAUGGUUCGUACAUUUCUUUUCGCAUUAGUUCCUAAUGUUAGUAAUAAGAUGUUAUCGGGGAUGAAUAAAUCUGAUGACAUUAGUUCUAAUGAAUUGAAAUUGUUAGUAGCAUACGUGAUUGGUUUCUAAAAUAAAAAUAAAAGAACCUCAUGUUCAUGUAAUACGUUGCAAGGAUUUUUAGAGAAUUAAGUGACAAAAUUGUACUAGUAGUUGUUUUAGCAAGAGUUUUCUUUGUCACCAUGAACUUGCAAAAUCAUUAGUUGAAGGCAUUAGAUAAUAUUUGUAGUAUCUGAUGAUAAUUUUUCUAAUAGAAGAAAAGUAAGAUUGACUUGAUGAGAUACAAAAUUGAGAUUGUGCUGUUAAGAUUUUGUUGUGUUUGAUUGUAUAUUUGUUAAUGAUAUAUAGAUGAUUUAUGGUGUAAACUUUUUUUAGUCGAUAUAAUUAAAUUUUAAUUGGAUUAGUUAAUUGAGGUUAUAUUGGUUUAUAUUUAAUGAUACACAUGAAUAAUCAUUUUUUGGGAGAUAUUGUAGAUUUGUUUAAAUAUAUUUUAGAUUAUGUAAAAUUAAAAAAAAGUGCAAAAUAGGACAAUAAACUACUAAUUGAAUAAUAAAAUUUAUCAUUAUCAUUAUUAAUACAAAUUAUGAUUAUGAUUAUGAUUAUCAUUAUUAUUUGUGGUGGAUUACAAAAUAAUAAUUUUGAAUUUGAAGUUUUGGUUUUUGAAAUAGAAAAUCCAAAUAUUUUGUUUAAAAUUAAGUUGAAUCUAACAUGAAAUUUGAAUAAAAUGAUCAUGACCAUCGUAUUGUUAGAGAGGCUAUUCAAAACUUUUUUUAUUAAAUUCCCCCUAACCUUUCUUUAAUAGACUAAACCACUACUUGUGUUUAUUGUAAUUUAGGCCCAAAACAUAAUAACAUUCUAAAAAAAUAUUAGUUAACCCUCAUCCAAAAAUUUAGCAAAUCAUAAUCUCUCUUUAAUUAUUUUAUUGACUAUCUCCUGAUAAUGUCUCUUAGCACUAAAGUAAAGCGACAUUAGUACUUAUAAUACUGCAAUUUUAGACUGCAUUGAGUCACUCAACUCUAGUGAUUAUCUUCCGUUUUAUAUAUAACAUUAUAUCACUCUCAUAUCUCAACAAGUGGCAACUACAUGUGUAAAAAGAAUCUUCAUCCUACACCAUAACAUUCGCCUUUAAUAAGUCCUCAAUCUAAAAUAAAACAAAUAGAUAAAAUAGAUGAAAUUAUAAAUUGGGUUAUUAUAACUUACAGUGCUAAUCACAGAAAAAUAUAAUUCUUUUUUCCCUUUUUGAUUUUUAAAGUAGAAUUUGUUAAUAACUUUACGAGUCAUGCAUAUUUCUAAAAGAGAAAAAAACAAAUAAAUUCUUAAUCUUUUGAUCUGUAGAUAUUUAAAUUUCUGAUUUUUUUAAAACUUAAACAUAUUGAUCUCUCAUGUUUACUUGGGUGUGUCAGACCCAAUAGAAAAAUCAAACGAUACUCCCGUUGUAUUAACCCGGUUAAUACAGAUGCACACGUGAGAGAGUUUUUAAAAUGAGACAAAUUAGGCUCAUGAAUCGAUAUAUCCAAAUUUAAAUGUCCACGUACUAAAAAGUCAGAGAUUAAUUUAUCUUUUUUUUUUCUUAAAUCUUUAAUCAUUUGGCACAAGAGAAAAGACGUAUGGCCUAAACCCACCUUACUCUAAAGGAGAGAAAUAGGAGAGGUCCACCAAUUUUUUCUCCCUCCAACGAUGGAAAAAAAAUGAAGAGAAAACUAAUUCUCUCUUUCUACUUCUAAUAUUACUCCUUUAUUUUUUUUAAUAUAUUUUGUAAUAUAAAGAUAAAAUUAUCUUUUUAUAACAUUUCUUUCCUUCUUAUUUUCCUUUCAUCUAAACACAUCUAAGAAAAAUAAAAAUAUAUUCAAUUUCUUUUCUUUCCUUUUUUUCUUUUCUAUUUCCUUUCUAUUUAUUUCUUUCCUUCUAACGAAACAUAGCCUAACAGCCUUUUGACAUGGAUCCCACCGUUUGGUUGAACCUAUUCUCUCACACACAUCCCAAUGACAGUGCAUCCACAUCAGAUCUAAAUCUCUAGAUGUCUCUCGCUAUCUACACCAUAAAACUCUCCAAAAAAAUUAACCACUAAUCAAUACUUUUUCUCAACAGAAGAAAAAAAAAAUUCCUAAAGUCGUUGGUCCAAUCAGACUAUCUCAUAUAUCGGUUUGUAAUUACAUUUAAUGUUGGGUCAAAUCUAACAAUACUAACAUCUUUAUGUCCUACAACAAUUUAAACCAUACAUCAGGAAUUUCUUACAUAGUGCUUUAAAGACCAUAAACAAUACCAAUUUACCAUGUCCUAAACUUACAUUUUCGGAAAAUCCUUCUAAUCUGAAAAGAAAUUGACCAAAAAGAUUCAUGAAAAUUGCUAUAGUGGAAAAUGGAUACUCAAGCGUGUCUCAAAAGAUUCAAAAGGUUAGAUUCUCUUGAUCUUCGCCAUUUAUCAUAUCCUUUUUUUAUUUAUAAGUUUAUUUUUGUAACAAACUAUUGCAAAAUUGUUAGAACUUUGAUAAGACUACUUCACUUAAAAAAUUUUAUAAUAUAAAAUUUAUUGUUAUUACUGCUGAAUUAUAAGAAUUCAUAAAACAGAUAAUUUAAUACCAAAUUUUGUUAAAAUUGGAUGUGAAUAAAUGUGUAAUUGAACAAGUCAGUAUAUGUAAAUUAAUAAAUUUCAAACAAUUAUAUUUCAUUGAUUUUAUUUAUACCAGUGUAUCCAUUUUUUUUUAUCUAUAAUAAUAAUAAUAAUAAUAAUAAUAAUAAUAAUAAUAAUAAUAAUAAUAAUAAUAAUAAUAAUAAUAAUAAUAAUAAUAAUAAUAAUAAUAAUAAUAAUAAUAAUAAUAAUAAUAAUAAUAAUAAUAAUAAUAAUAAUAAUAAUAAUAAUAAUAAUAGCUAAAAUUGGCUANNNNNNNNNNNNNNNNNNNNNNNNNNNNNNNNNNNNNNNNNNNNNNNNNNNNNNNNNNNNNNNNNNNNNNNNNNNNNNNNNNNNNNNNNNNNNNNNNNNNNNNNNNNNNNNNNNNNNNNNNNNNNNNNNNNNNNNNNNNNNNNNNNNNNNNNNNNNNNNNNNNNNNNNNNNNNNNNNNNNNNNNNNNNNNNNNNNNNNNNNNNNNNNNNNNNNNNNNNNNNNNNNNNNNNNNNNNNNNNNNNNNNNNNNNNNNNNNNNNNNNNNNNNNNNNNNNNNNNNNNNNNNNNNNNNNNNNNNNNNNNNNNNNNNNNNNNNNNNNNNNNNNNNNNNNNNNNNNNNNNNNNNNNNNNNNNNNNNNNNNNNNNNNNNNNNNNNNNNNNNNNNNNNNNNNNNNNNNNNNNNNNNNNNNNNNNNNNNNNNNNNNNNNNNNNNNNNNNNNNNNNNNNNNNNNNNNNNNNNNNNNNNNNNNNNNNNNNNNNNNNNNNNNNNNNNNNNNNNNNNNNNNNNNNNNNNNNNNNNNNNNNNNNNNNNNNNNNNNNNNNNNNNNNNNNNNNNNNNNNNNNNNNNNNNNNNNNNNNNNNNNNNNNNNNNNNNNNNNNNNNNNNNNNNNNNNNNNNNNNNNNNNNNNNNNNNNNNNNNNNNNNNNNNNNNNNNNNNNNNNNNNNNNNNNNNNNNNNNNNNNNNNNNNNNNNNNNNNNNNNNNNNNNNNNNNNNNNNNNNNNNNNNNNNNNNNNNNNNNNNNNNNNNNNNNNNNNNNNNNNNNNNNNNNNNNNNNNNNNNNNNNNNNNNNNNNNNNNNNNNNNNNNNNNNNNNNNNNNNNNNNNNNNNNNNNNNNNNNNNNNNNNNNNNNNNNNNNNNNNNNNNNNNNNNNNNNNNNNNNNNNNNNNNNNNNNNNNNNNNNNNNNNNNNNNNNNNNNNNNNNNNNNNNNNNNNNNNNNNNNNNNNNNNNNNNNNNNNNNNNNNNNNNNNNNNNNNNNNNNNNNNNNNNNNNNNNNNNNNNNNNNNNNNNNNNNNNNNNNNNNNNNNNNNNNNNNNNNNNNNNNNNNNNNNNNNNNNNNNNNNNNNNNNNNNNNNNNNNNNNNNNNNNNNNNNNNNNNNNNNNNNNNNNNNNNNNNNNNNNNNNNNNNNNNNNNNNNNNNNNNNNNNNNNNNNNNNNNNNNNNNNNNNNNNNNNNNNNNNNNNNNNNNNNNNNNNNNNNNNNNNNNNNNNNNNNNNNNNNNNNNNNNNNNNNNNNNNNNNNNNNNNNNNNNNNNNNNNNNNNNNNNNNNNNNNNNNNNNNNNNNNNNNNNNNNNNNNNNNNNNNNNNNNNNNNNNNNNNNNNNNNNNNNNNNNNNNNNNNNNNNNNNNNNNNNNNNNNNNNNNNNNNNNNNNNNNNNNNNNNNNNNNNNNNNNNNNNNNNNNNNNNNNNNNNNNNNNNNNNNNNNNNNNNNNNNNNNNNNNNNNNNNNNNNNNNNNNNNNNNNNNNNNNNNNNNNNNNNNNNNNNNNNNNNNNNNNNNNNNNNNNNNNNNNNNNNNNNNNNNNNNNNNNNNNNNNNNNNNNNNNNNNNNNNNNNNNNNNNNNNNNNNNNNNNNNNNNNNNNNNNNNNNNNNNNNNNNNNNNNNNNNNNNNNNNNNNNNNNNNNNNNNNNNNNNNNNNNNNNNNNNNNNNNNNNNNNNNNNNNNNNNNNNNNNNNNNNNNNNNNNNNNNNNNNNNNNNNNNNNNNNNNNNNNNNNNNNNNNNNNNNNNNNNNNNNNNNNNNNNNNNNNNNNNNNNNNNNNNNNNNNNNNNNNNNNNNNNNNNNNNNNNNNNNNNNNNNNNNNNNNNNNNNNNNNNNNNNNNNNNNNNNNNNNNNNNNNNNNNNNNNNNNNNNNNNNNNNNNNNNNNNNNNNNNNNNNNNNNNNNNNNNNNNNNNNNNNNNNNNNNNNNNNNNNNNNNNNNNNNNNNNNNNNNNNNNNNNNNNNNNNNNNNNNNNNNNNNNNNNNNNNNNNNNNNNNNNNNNNNNNNNNNNNNNNNNNNNNNNNNNNNNNNNNNNNNNNNNNNNNNNNNNNNNNNNNNNNNNNNNNNNNNNNNNNNNNNNNNNNNNNNNNNNNNNNNNNNNNNNNNNNNNNNNNNNNNNNNNNNNNNNNNNNNNNNNNNNNNNNNNNNNNNNNNNNNNNNNNNNNNNNNNNNNNNNNNNNNNNNNNNNNNNNNNNNNNNNNNNNNNNNNNNNNNNNNNNNNNNNNNNNNNNNNNNNNNNNNNNNNNNNNNNNNNNNNNNNNNNNNNNNNNNNNNNNNNNNNNNNNNNNNNNNNNNNNNNNNNNNNNNNNNNNNNNNNNNNNNNNNNNNNNNNNNNNNNNNNNNNNNNNNNNNNNNNNNNNNNNNNNNNNNNNNNNNNNNNNNNNNNNNNNNNNNNNNNNNNNNNNNNNNNNNNNNNNNNNNNNNNNNNNNNNNNNNNNNNNNNNNNNNNNNNNNNNNNNNNNNNNNNNNNNNNNNNNNNNNNNNNNNNNNNNNNNNNNNNNNNNNNNNNNNNNNNNNNNNNNNNNNNNNNNNNNNNNNNNNNNNNNNNNNNNNNNNNNNNNNNNNNNNNNNNNNNNNNNNNNNNNNNNNNNNNNNNNNNNNNNNNNNNNNNNNNNNNNNNNNNNNNNNNNNNNUAAUAAUAAUAAUAAUAGCUAAAAUUGGCUAAAAUGAUAAAUAAAUACUUAUAUUCUAAAUUCGAACUAAAGAGCUCAAGUUUUAUAAACAGCACAAGGUAUUUUUAUGAAUAUAUAUGAUAAAAGAGCCUUUUUUUUUUGGGGGAGGGGGGGGGGUUGGGGUACAUCGUUUGCAAUUCACAUUAUAUAUUCAAAUGAUUUUUAAAUAGCAUGACAUUUUAUCGAGACGUCUACAAGAUCAAAAGUAGUAAAAUAAAAAUGAGGUAUUUGAGAUCUUACCACAAGGUAGUAAGACACCUUCAGACACCAAUGGUGAGUGCUUUUAUUAGAAAAUUCAAAGACCAAUGAUCCCAAAAUCAAAAUAUUGAGCUUUAGUCAUGAGCACUAUACCUCACAAUCUCACAUCACUUUUACAUUACAAUCGUAAUGUAUUUACGUAAAGCAAAAUUGGACCUUAAAUUACUUUUGGCAGUAACACUAGUGAUGUAGAACUUGAAUAAUACUAGCUUUCAUUGCCUUAAAGGACAAAGAAUAAGUAUAAUUUUGCUGACACCACCUAACACAAUAUUGUAUGAAAGAUCCUACCAUCGAUUGCAUCAGUAUAGUAGCCAAGCAUCUCUCUUGCUCUACCUCUUCGAAAAUACGCUUUGACAUUCUGCAGGGAAAAAGACUGGGAAUUAAUACCAAUAUAUAAUAAAAUUCUGCACAGCUACUAGACUUUGACAUUCUGCAGGAAAAAAGACAGGGAAUUAAUACCAAUAAAUAAUAAAAUUUGCACAGCUACUAGAUCCAAGGAAGUAUAGAAUAUGCAAGAAUAAACAAAGUGCUUCCCUUGAAUAAGCCCGAGUCCAAGAUCUAAAGAGGAGCCGAAGGGAGAAGGCUAAUAGAUUGACUUGCUUUUUACCUUUCAUAUUUUGCGUGAACAAAGUUAGAUAAAGUUUCAUAUGAAGUGGACUCAUGAUAUUUGGACUUCGGAUUGUAAGAAAUAAUUAUUUGUCUGUACGUCAAGAAAAUCAAUCACACAGAACUUUUAUUACUAUCCAUGUUCAGGAUUAUUUAUAGAUGUAAAUCACCUUUUUGUCAAGGCUAAUUGCUUUUGUACAAUCCGACUCAGCUGCGAGGCAAUUCGAAAAAAGAUAUUUUCUUAGAAGUUCAUCUAAACAAGCUUCUAGUAAGUUUUAUUUCUUAUUUUCGACCACGGAUUUUAGAAGUAAUAUUUCAAAUUGAACCCUCUAUUUUCUGUUUUCUGUUUCCGUAAGUUUGUAAUUUUACAUUUACCCCUACCACAAGUCUUUACUUUCCAAAUUUCCUCUCUACCCUUACAUAUAAUUUGUGAUAAAAAAAAAAAUUUAUUCUGCUAGGGUUGCUCACGUCUCCGGUAGUCUGUCUUCUUUCGCCACUGCACAACGCUUCUGCAGACUGCACAUCUCGCCGCUGCAGCCAGUUUGCACGGUCGUUGCCAGUUUACAUCCAGUAGUCUGUGUACAAAUUCUUUUUGUGUUUGAGGAACAAUAGAUUCUUAGUUUGGUAUAUAUUAGCAGGUAUGUAAGUGUAGUAGGCAAAUACUUUGAAUUUAUAUUGUUCAUGUUUGAUUGGAAAUUUGAACGGCCCUUCUUAAUCGCAAGUUGGUUUCCCUGACGUGCACUUAUGUGUCUGGAUCAGUUUAUAAUUUUUCUCUUGAAUUUGUGUUGCUUUAAGUUGUGCUUCUUCUGUCUCUUUAAUCCUAUCUUUAUUCUCAUUUUCAAUUGCUGAGCACUUUUCUUCAACUCUACUACUUCUUUUGUCUUUAUUAUCCGGGAUUAAAUGAAUUACUUGUCAUAGUAUUAAUUAUAAAAUGAAAAACAAUGCAUAUAUGCUGCUGUUUGUUGGUAACUAGGUUCAUCCCAUUGGUAUCUGGACCUUUGUCGUAAUGUUUUCUCCUGUUGAAUUUCUUAUUCUGACUUGUCACUUGAUGGUUUGAUAUUGCAUUCCAAACUGUGUUAGCACUUGGCAGCAUUUGUGAUCUUAACACUGACGAGUAUAUAUGUUUAUUUAGAUGAAGAAUUUUUCAUUCUUCUGCAAUUCUAUGCAAUUCUAUUCUUCUGCAAAUAAUCAUGAAUUCUAUUCCAUGAGGCAUCAUUUUACAAUUUUCAUUUCCUACAUUUCCUUCUAUUUUUUGUAAUUUGAAUUUCCAGUGACAAAUGUCAUAACCUUAUUUUUGAAACAAAAAAGAGGUUAAAGGUACACUCCUUUCUUUAAAUUAUACUAUUUAAAAAUAUCACAUAAUUUUUUGGGUGAAAAUUUUAUUUGCAAAAUGUAUUGGAACUUUUAACUAAAUAAUUCUUUCGUUUUCAUCUUUUUCCUUUUGACAGUGAAAUGUAGCAUUUUAAGACAGAAAUUUAGACCCUUUCAGCUCCUCACUUUAGUAACUCUAGCUUGGUAUUGUCUACAACAAGAACCUCUUUAAUUACUAUGGUACUUGCUCAAUUGCUAGUUUUGUUACUUCUCUAUUAUAAUUACAGCAUUGCCUUCAUCUUGCUGACCCUGCAUUUCUUUUAAAGGUUGGCCCGGUUGGGGCCAUAGGCCUGGUUUGGAUUCGAUUUAACCGGUUCGGUUCUAUUCGAUCCAAUUUUAGACCGAUUUUUUUAAAAUUGGUGUCAAAAUUUUCGUUUCGAUGAGCUUUAUCCUAAUUUGAUAUAAUAUUCAUAUUUCUAAUAUUCUUUAUCAAUAAUUAAUUUAUCAACUAAUUAUUUACUAAUUUAACGGAGUUUACAAGCCCAAUUGGCAAUUACCACUCCAAACUAUGUGUGGAUGAAGGAGGCCCGGGUCAUGUAACCAAUUUGACCAUGUGCGACAUAUUGGCUCCAAUUGAAUGAAUAUUUUCAUUUUCAAUAAAAAAAAUAUAUUAUAGAUUUUAUUGACAUGCUUGACAAGUUGAUACUUAGGUUUUAUGAUAAGAAUCUUAGGAUCAUAUUUUGUCAUGACAUAAUUUAUUUAUUUAAAAUUUGUUUUUUUUUUUUGAACGAAAGAGCUCAACACUCAAGUGGAGCAAAGAAAGACAAAACAACAAAAGAAAAAUAAUUUCGAUGUAUCUUCGGCAUAGCUAUCAACAACAGGAAUUAUUUACCACACUACUCUGCAGCACAUGAAAAUGUUUGACCCACACAUUCUACGACUUUUGUUGUCUUGCUCUGAAAUAUGACAUCAUUCCGUCACAACCAAAUGUUCCAUAUAGAUGAGAAGAACCCAACUAGCCAAAAAUUGUGCCUCUCUUUUCUCAUCGGCAUUGAUCUCCAACUCUCAAAGUGUUCUUUCAAAGUACCGGGGGUAGUCCACACCUAUCCAAAUUCUGAGAUCCAUGCACACCACACCUGCCAAGAGUACUCACAAGUAACAAAUAAGUGUUGAAUAUUUUCAACAUCUUUCUUGCACAACACGCACACAUUAUCAUUCUAUGGUAAGAUUCCCAGCCUAUUUAGCCGAUCCUUUGUAUUGACCCGCCCUACCAAAACAAACCAAGUGAAUAACUUGACUCGAGGUGGAACUAACCUUUUCAAAUUUCCUUUGUGAAUCUGAAUCUCAGAAGCUCCUCAUCCAGAGUCUCUUCCUGCAAAACCUGCACAAAUGAGUUAGUCGAAUAAAUGUCUUCGUUGUCAGAUUUUCACACCACUCUAUCUUGCACUUCUGCUAUCAAUUUAACAGAUUGCAAGACAUGAAGCAUCUGGUCUAAGGUGUCUAUCUCCCAUUGACGUAGUUUUCUCCUCUAUUGAAAGUGCCAAACCCACUCAAUCCCAUCCCAGAAUCCACAAUCCCCAAUUACUGAUCCUUUUUUGCUUGAAAUCAAGAAGAGUCUCGCAAAAUGAGUCUUUCAACUUUCCCACUUAGAGCUAUGUAUCCUCCCAAAACCUGGUAGAUCUACCAUCCCCUACUUCUAUAUCAAGGCCAUCAAUCAUCUUCUGCCUUACAUGUUGCUCCUUUAUGUAUACCUGCAUACGUCUCUCCACGGGCCUCCUCUUUCUGGUAGUUUCUGAGUUGACAGCAAAUGAUUUGGGUUCAAGCUAUUAUAGGAGCACACAAUCUUCUUCCAUAGGGGGCAGUCCUCCUUUGAGAAGCGCCACCACCAUUUAAAUAGUAAAGCCGCAUUACGAAUUACCGCAUCACCCACGCCCGAUCCUCCUAACUUCUUAGGUGCCUAGAUCAUCUCCCACUUCACAAGAGCCAUUCCAGGUCGUCCAUCCUCCUUUCCCCAGAAGAACCUCCUCUGUAGAGAGAUGAUUCUUCGAGUAGUAAAAACUCAAGUAGUAAACAGACAGACUAUUGAUUACCGACUUAAUGAGUACCAGCUUCCCAGCCUUACUUAGAACCUUUACUUUCCAUAAGCUGAGUUUCUCUUCUACCUUAUAUAUAACCGGCUUCCAAGUUUUUACCAACCACGGGUUUGCUCCUAAACUAAUACCAAGAUACCUCACCAGUAGGGCCGCCUCCUGACAACCCAGUAGCUAACACAUUCGUCUUAUCCACUCCUGGCUGCAGUUCACUGGUAUCAAGUUGGAUUUCUCAAAGUUAAUGUUCAAACCAGACAUAAUUUCAAAGCACCUCAACAGCCUCUAAUAGUUCCUCACUGUCUCCUCCUUCGGCGGACAGAAUAAUAUAGUGUCAUCAGCGAAUUGUAAGUGUGAUAACUCUAUAUUAUCUCUAGGGUUGGCAAUGGGUAGGGUAGGGUAGGGUUUGGAUAGGGUUUGGACCCUACCCUAACCAUACCCGCGGGUUGAAAAUUUCAUUAAAACUCUACCCGCGGGUUGAGAAUCUCUCAACUCUAACCUUACCCACACCCUAAAGUUCUAAAUCCUACCCUACCCUACCUUACCCGCAGAAAUAUCAAAUUUUUUCAACGUAAAUAUAAAAUUCAAUCAUUUCGAAUCUUAUACAUAUUAAUAACAUAAAAAAUAAAAAACUAAUGCUUUGAAUUACUAAAUUAACUAACUAGUUUAAUGGUUGUUCACUUAUUGUAAGUCAUUACAUAAGGGAGGUUAUGGAUUCAACUCUCACUUCCUUCACUAUAUACCCAAUUUUUAUAAAAUAUGUGUUAUAUAUGAGGUGCGGGUAGGGUAGGGUAGGGUACACCCUAAACCCGUGCCAUAUCCUACUAAACCCGUGCCCUAAUUAUCUCUACCAACUAAGAAUGGAGAUAUUCGACCGCCUCCCCAAUCAUUCUGUUAAGCACAUCCACCACCAGAACAAACAAAAACGAUGAUAAUGGGUCACCUUGACGGAGUCCCCUCUCCAUCUUAAAAGGUUUCAAUGGUGACCCAUUUACCAGAAUCGAGAUAGAUGCAGAUCUAAUACACUCCCUGAUCCAUGCCCUCCAAGUUCUACCGAAGCCCAUCUUCUCUAGCACAGUAUCCACAAAGCACCAUUUCACUCUAUCAUAUAAAAUUUGGUUUCUUAUAUAAAGUAACUUCUAUUUUGUUUCUUUUUUGGAUUCCUACAUAGUAUAAUAAAUUUAUAUAAGGUUGAAUAAUGUUUUCCCUUUUUGGUUUUUAAGGUUGGAUCAAUUGAUGUAAUUUUGCAUCUGGCUUUCAAAAAUUCUUUCGUGGCUCUGUAGUUUUGCAUCAUUAUCAUUGCAUAUAUAUAUAUAUAUAUAUCCAUAAGUACUGGUAAUUGUUGAGAUCCAAGAUGUGAAAAGUUCCUAAGCUUCAAAGAGAGUUCUAGCAACAUUCCACUUUAUAAAACCAAAGAUUUUUUUUCUUCAAGCCAUAUUAAAAAGAUUUAACAUCAGAUCUCUGUGUGUUUCAUAAAGGGCAAGGAAUUAAUUAGUUCUAUUAAGACACGAAUUCAGAAUAUCCAUAUGCUACUAUUCUGUUUUUCUUGAUGAAUAAUUAUGUUCUCUAACAUUAAAUGUGAACAUAGUAUUUAACUUGAUGAUUAUGCCUUCUUAUUUCCUCCAUGUGAAAUUAGAUGAUAUAAUAAUUUUUAAUUGUAUCAUAUUGCAGUUACAAUUUUUUUUGUAUAGAAAAUGAAGAUGAGGCGGUUCUCUUUGGUGCUGAAGCCAAAGGCAUUUGCUAGAGCAAGGCAGUUCUCCCAGGAGCUGAAUCGGUUGUUGUGGAGUAAUUCCAAUAUGGGUUUGUGUCAAAUUUUUUAGCUUCUCUUUAUGUUAUCCCAAUUUGAAACAUUUUUAUAUAGUUGUGGUUGUUUGGAAUAUUGGAUAAUCAUUAAUAGUUCUGUUUUCAUUGAACAUGAUUAGACCUUUAGUGAACCAAAAUGGAAACUGGAAAUAGUAUCUGUGUUAAAUACAUGACUAAGGUAAUCAGCAAUUAGAUUGUUUGAAAAUUUACUUGCCUAACAUUGUGUAUUGUUACUUCUGAAAUGAAGCUUCAACUGAUAGUAAGCUAGAGGUUUCAUAAUCUCUAUUUAAUUUUGUUUAUUUUAUGCAUAAUUGUGGCCUUCUGGUCGGCAAAUGGCUAUCCUAAUCAUGCAACACUUGAAGUGGCUUUAAAAUGCUUCUCAAAUAAAGUUAGCACUGCAAGCGUUAUUAAAAAAAUGGUCCAAAUGUAAUGAAGUUUCUUUUGGCUUAUGGUCUUCAGGUAUCAGUCUUUAGUCAAUGAAUUGAAGCACCAUAUGUAUUUUUUUAGUACAUCUAUUUUUCUUCUGUUUAAUCAAAAUGGUUGACUUAAAUGUGCAAAUGGAAAAGUUUACUAUUGCAAUAUUACUUAAUAAAAGCAUUAAAUCUGAGCAAUUCAUACUACCUAUUCUCUUUUGUUUUUCUAUAAAUUUAACUGAGGGUAUUUGUUUUCUGUUUCCAAUUUAAAACAUUGUGUAGGAAAUUUUGGAAAAAGUGGAGACCCUUUUUGUCAUCUUUCUAUUUAAAAUUUCAAAAACAAAAACUAAAAAUAUAUCCUUUUGUUUUUCAUGUUCUUGCACAAUAAAAUCGUUACCUUAUUGAUUAUUUAUGGAUUCUGUCUUACAUACAAUUUGAAUAACAUUAUAGGUGAUGAUGAAUUCGAUGAAGGUUACUUCCAACAGAAGUACAUUGGAGGUAAUUUUCCAUUAUAAAUAAAUAAAUACAUAAUAAAAUUGGAUCUUCUAAGUUUCUCCCUCUUAUAUUCGUGUAUUUUUUUGUUCUUACAUGUAGAUACCAAUAUCUUGCUCCUCUCUGUGUAUGCUUAUUAGGAUGCUUUUUCUUUUUGUUGAUUUUAUAUUAUUGUGUUAAAAUUUUAUUUAUGUAGUUGGUGCAAUAUUAAUCAUUUUAUACUAUUGCCUUUUCUAUCUUUGAAGUCUGUAAUACUAUUACUUUAAUUGACAUCCACAUCAUGAAAGGACAUACCACUAAACCCAGUUCAAUUCAAUCUAAUCAUGCUUGAUUUUUUUAAUUUUGAUUAUUUUAUAUAGGAGAGAUUGGUGAAGGAGAAUACUUUGCUUUCCAAAACUGUCAGGAAGCUUAGCAAAGAUAUCUAUAAGGUGUAAAUAUUAGUAUAUAAUUUUGUCUUUGAAUGAAUAAUUCUUGGUUCCUUGGCUUCAUUUAGUGAUUUUAUUAAAAGGUUUAGGACAAAUAUCCAAUUCUAAUUAUUUUUCACUAAAUUUUUAAGUUUUUACUAUUUUUGUUUAAACAGUGUUUACCAUAGAUAUAUUCUUAUUAAAUUGUAGGUUUUGUAUUCUCAUUAAACUCCAUGCUUUGUUAUUUAUGACGACAAAUGAAGUAUAGAGCAUAAUUGGGAGAUAUUGUGUUUCUGAAGUUCUGAAUUUGUUGAUAUUUUUGAAAAAGCUAAGUAGUUUUUUGUUUCUGAUUUAUCACAUUACAUGCAUGGGUUUGAUGUGCUGAUUUUAGGUUAUUGUCAAGUCAUUUUUUUUCUCUUUUUGAUGUACUGAUGAAAAUUAUGAACAACUUAAAAGGAAAAAAUUUUAGGAGUAUGAUCCCUCUCAAGCAUGGAAAAUAUCUCGGCGACUUAGCUGAAGGAAAUGUAACACAGGAACAUAACCUUUCCAAAGAAGAUGAAAAGUGGAAGAAAACUAUUACUCUAAAUUGGCUUUUGCUACACUUUUCUCUUUUCUCAAGUUAAUAUUGGUUUAGUGCAGUUCACUAACAUAAAAAAUUUUUGUAUGCAUUGAGCGAUAUCCUAAAUGCCAUUACUUAAUUACUUGAUUCAUGUAGUGAGUUUGCAUACUCAAAAAAUCUUUCCUUUGUUCCAUUAUAUGCCAAAUUGCCAAUCAAUAGUAGUUCAAUCAAGCUUGGUUUUGUUACCCAUGGAUAUUAGUACCUUGAAUUAAAAGCAAAAUUUGUUUACUCUAUAUAACAAGAAAAUCAGUUACCUUCUUUGUCAUGUUAAUUGCUUUGGUACAUUAUGCCUCAGCCCUCAGGUAUAACUGCAUGAACACAGAAAAAUGAGAAGAUGUUUGCAAAAUAACAUUUGAGAUUUCAUCUAAAGCUACAUCAGCCAGUUUGUGCUGCAUGGGGGGAAAUGAAAAGAUUGUAAGACAAUAAGAGUGCAGGGAAGCUUCACAACUAACACGUGAUUCCCUUUCAAUGAUGAAAUCAGAACCAUUUCAGCUUAGUGCUAAAUUAACAUCAAUGCAUUUAUAUAAUUACAGAAAAGAAAAAAAGAAAUAAUGAUAGAUACCCACAAGAAACGCAUGACAACCAUCUAGUCACUGCAUAAAAUAAGCAAUGACAAAGAAAACGCUUAGGGUGGAUAAAGCAGAAUAAAGAGUAACAAUCAUGUCAAGCCCCAAAAGCAUUAAUAUGUAAUGGAUAGAUGAUCCUGAAGAAGGUAACAAAACACAAGUUAAAAAGAAAGAGAUACAAACAACAUUUGUGAUGUCUAACAAGAAGAAUCUCAUCUACCUUUAUCCUUGCAAUAGGCCUCUAGAUAUCAUUUCACGAAGAAGUUUCUCAGCUUUAUCAUUUUCACCGUUUUCAAAUAGAGCACAAAUGAUUGUUUCAUAAGUCACAGCAUCUGGUAAGCAACCACUGUCUUCCAUUUUUGUCAUGAGUGCCAAUGCUUCGUGAAGCAGACCCUCUUUGCAAAGCCCAUUGAUCAUAAUGGUGUAUGUCCGCACAUUUGGACGAUAGCCUUUAAUGGAAAGAUCUUGAAAUAUCUCUUCUGCCUUUUUAAUUCUUCCACUUUUGCACAGGCCAUCUAUAAGUAUGUUGUAUGUAUAUAUAUCUGGAUCAAUGCCACUCUCUUUCAUUUCCUUGAAUAAUAUAAGUGCCUUGUCAUGUUGUUUGAUAUUGAACAAAGCAUCCAGCAAGGAACUGUAAGUGACUAUAUCAGCAGGUUGACCUCUAUCAUGCAUCUUUUUAAGAAGCUCCACAGCACAAAGGAUUCUCCUUGAUUUUCCCAAGCCAUCAAUUAGAGUAUUGUAAGUAACCAUGUCCGGAACCAAGUUCCUGCAACGCAUCUCUUCAAAGAGAUUCAAGGCAUCAUCGACCAUUUUACUUUUGCACAAACCAUUAAUCAUGAUAUUGUAACUACAAACAUUAGGCGACACACUACUUUGGGCCAUUGUGUUGAAUACAUAUUUUGCCUUAUUUACCUCAUUAACCAAACAAUAUCCAUCCAUUAAGCUAUUAUAAAUAUACACUUCUGGUUUCACACCUUGUUUCAUCAUGAUAACAAACACACUCUUAGCAUCUUUGACCCUUCCUUCCUUACAUAGCCCAUCAAUCAAAAUACUAUAGGUACAAGCAGUUGGAGUAAUGUUUUUCAGCAUCAUAUGAUUCAGUAAAUCAAUGGCUUCUUUUAGUUGACCCCCAAGGCACAAUCCAUAAAUUAGAGUGCUGUACGUGAUAACAUUAGGAUAAAUUCCUUUAGCAAGCAUUUCAGAAUAUAAAUGAAAAGCUUCACUUAGAAGGGUAACCUUGCACAAGCUAUCAAUAAUUGCGUUGUACAUGAUGACAUUAGGAACAAUUCCAUGUCGUGGGAUCUUUCUCAACACUUGAAUAGCAUCUGAUGUGUGUCCGGUCUUACAGAGGCCAUUGAUCAAGGUCCCAUAAGUGACUUGAUUAAAGUGAAAUCCAUGAGCCAGCAUUGUGGCAUGAAAGUGCAGUGCUUUUUCAACAUUACCACAGAGACAGAGGCCUUUCAGGAUUGUUGUCAACGUUACGGCAUCAGGCUGAAAACCCAUCCUGAAAAUCUUGGCCAAUAUAGAGAAAGCAAGCUUCAUACGACCCAUGCCACAGCAACAAUUGAUUAAGAUAUUCAAAGUAAAUAAGUUGGGAGCAAUUCCCCUGGCUUGCAAUUGCUGAAAAAGGGAAAUGGCGGUGGGGAAAUGGUUGGUCUUGGCAAGAGAUCCCAAAAUCUUGGUGAAUUGGAUGAUGGACGGAGGGCGACGCAUAGAGAGCAUGCGAGUGAAGGAAUCAACAGCUUCAUCAAGUGAUUGGGGCAGAGAGUGAGAGUGAGAGUGUAGGGAUGAAGUUGAAGGGAAGCAAAGACGGAGAGCGGAGAGGGAAACAGAAUUUGGGAAUUGAAAAGCAUACCUUAAUUUGAUUGGUGAGGAAGAGAACAAUGACAACAUUCUUUUCUUGCAAUCAAGUGGAGUAUCGUAAAAGGGAAUGCGUUGAACUGAACAGUGCUUCCACCUGAGAGAGUGAGAGCAGUAUCAAGCUUAUUUGAUUCGUUUAAGUUGUGCGUCUUCUGCCUCAUUAAUCCUAGCUUUAUUCUCAUUUUCAAUUGCUGAGCACUUUUCUUCAACUCUACUACUACUGUCUUUAUUAUCCGAAAUUAAAUGAAUUACUUGUCAUAGAAAUUAUAAGUAGAAUAAUUGAAUGACAGAUAUAAUUAAUUCGUAAUUUUUAAAUAAUCAAUUUAAUUAAAAAUAUCUUCAUAGGACGAAUUUAAAAAAUGACUUAAAAACAAUGCAUAUAUGCUGCUAUUUGUUAGUAAAUAGGUAGUUCAUCCCGUUAAUUGGUAUAUGGACCUUUGUCGUAUUGUUUUUUCCUAUUGAAUUUUUUAUUCUGACUUGUCAUUUGAAGGUUUGAUAUUGCAUUUAAAAUUGUAUUAGCAUUUAGCAGUGUUUGCUAUCUUAACACUGAUAUGUUUACUUAGAUGAGGAAUUUUUUAUUUUUCUCCAAAUAAUCAUCAUUUCUAUUCUAUGAUACAUCAUUUUAUAAUUUUUAUUUUUUACAUUUGUUUCUAUUUUUUGUAAUUUGAAUUUCAAAUGACAAAUGUCAUAACCUUAUUCUUAAAACAAAAAAAGGGUUAAAACUUAAAAGUACACUCUUUUUUUUGAAUUAUACUAUUUAAAAAUAUCAUAUAAUUUUUUAGGUGAAAAUUUUAUUUGCAAAAUAUAUUGGAACUUCUAGCUAAAAUAAUUCUUUGGUUUUUAUCAUUUCCCUUUUUGACAGUGAAAUGUACCAUUUUAAGACAGAAAUAUAGGCCCUUUCAACUCUUCACUUUAGUAACUCUAGCUUGGUAUUAUUUACAAUAGGAACCUCUUUAAUUACUAUGGUACUUGCUCAAUUGCUAAUUUUGUUGCUUCUCUAUUAUAAUUGCAGCAUGGAUUUCAUCUUGCCGAUCCUGUAUUUUUUCUAAAGUGUCUUGUAAUUUUGCAAUCUCUUGUCUUUUAACUUCUUCAAGAUCAAUUAAUAUAUUGAGAAUGGUAUAAUAUUCAAUCAUGAUUGUUAAUGAACUCUUAUGAUGUAAAUCUCUUGACUAGACUAAUUAUUAUAUAAGUUCUUUGGUGUAUUAUGAUGCGAAAGGAAAAGAUGGAUUAUUUGCUGGAUUAUCAAGGUAGCAAAUCACUGGUUUUAUUUACAAAAAAAAAAAAAGAAAAAAAAUUUCCACUAUAGCAUUGAAAGGGAUUAUUUGAUUGUUCAUGCUUUUGUUAAAUCGCAAUUCUAUGCUGAAGUUUGAGUUCUUCAAAAUUGUAGGAAGUGCAGUAUACAGCAACUGAAGAAAAAGAAAGUGUUCGAAAAUUUAUCAAAUUCAUUGAGAAAAAGGACGCCGGUGCUUCAUGAAAAUGUUUCAUUAGUUACCAAAUGCGUGAUGCAUUUUCACAUUCGUAGUUCGAGGGCUAGCAUUCAUGAAAGUAAAAACAUUUUUAUCAAUGCCAAUAAAGAACAGUUUAGUCUGUUUUGACCAUAGUUUAUGAUUUAUUAAUUAAAAUAGAAAAAAAAAACUCAGCUUGAAUUGAAAUUGAUCCUUCUAAAUACUCUCAAAUAAUUUAGAAUUCAAAACCUAUAUUUUAUAUUGAAUAGUCAUGAGCAGAAAUUUAUCAGUAUAAUUUUGUGUUACAUAUUUAUGAAGCAAAAAGAAAAAAAAAAUGUAGAGGUAACGAGUAACGACACACGAGCUAAAUGUUUUAACUAAGUAGGGACCAAAAUUCAGAUAAAAUCCAAACAGGCAACAUUAUUACAAGUCAUAACUCACAAGACAUUCAUAUGGAUCGAACAUUCACUUAUUAUAACCGAUACAGACGUAAUAUCAGUGGGUAUUGUUAAGCAUGAUUCUACCAUUGGUGAUAUGCUAAUUAUGUUGGUGUGGGUGGGUGUUUCAUCAUUUAGUUUCUUAACUAAAAGGUCAGUAGUUUAAAUUCUACCUUAGACAUGAAAAAAAUUUUGUAUUGAAUUAUGUUUUCAGUGUUUGUUUGGAUGUCAUUAAAUUAAAAAAUAUUUUUUUAUUUUUUAUUUUUUUUGUUUCAAUAAAAUUUUAGUAAUAAAAAUAAAAUAAUAAAAAAAAUAAAAAUAUAUUUUUUAGAAGACAUAUUUUUUUAGAAGAUCUUAUAAAAAAAGAUCAUUUAAAAAAAGAUAUUUUCAUAAAAUCUUACUCAAAUAAAUCCUUAAGCAGAUGACCAUAGCAAAAAGAUUAACAAUUGAGUUUCAUCCUCAAAAAACCAAAAAGAAAAUAGUAUUAGUUGGAGUGAUCUGGAACAUAUGGUUGGAACGUAAUGUCAGAAUAUUCAAUAAUAACAUCGCCAGUAUUGACUUUAUUCACACAAAGACAGUGUCAAGCUACAAUGAGUGGACUGGAGGUGAUUCUUUAGGUGAUUGAUAGUAUAGUUGGAGGUGCCAGGAGAUUGUUUCUCGGUCUACAGGGGUCAUGUUUUAUGUUGUCUGUUUUAUGUUCUGUGUUUUAUGUUUGUGUGUUUUGCUUCACUGUAAUGUGUUGAGCUUCCUAUAUUUCAAAAAAAAAAAAAUAGUAUUAGUAAUUGUGUUUCAAACUUUUUUAUAUAUAAAUAAAAAAAUCAUAUUAACUCUUUUAAGUAUUAUAUGGUAAUUUUGCAGGCAGAGACUAUUUCGCAAUCAAUGACUACCAAUAGAGAAAGAACGUUAUUGCACAAUCCAUGCCAACGCAAUAGAGGUAAAACAACUUCUCCACUAUAGCUACGAAAUAGUUGGAACCACUAUAUAACAACACACGCAAUCUUUGCGCGUUACAUUGCAGCCAUUUGUUUAGUUUUGAGUUUGGAGAAUUUCAAAGAAAAUAGAGAGAGAAUGACAGAGAAAAAAAAAAGAAAAAAUAAAAGAGCUUUUGUCGCAAUGAUUCGGAGUAGCGACAUCAACCGUUUGAAUGAAGGUAGACAUGUCACGCGCCACAUUGAUGAUCAGGUUAGAAUUUAAAUUAAUUUUUUUGUUUAUUAUAUUAUAGUUAUUAGUUGGUUAAUUAGUAGUUAUAAGUUUAGGAUUAGUUUAAUAUAUUAGGGAAUAGACAUUUAUAAUAUAUAAAUUAGGGAGACUUUUAAAUUUAAUGUAAAAAUCUUUGGAUUUAGACUACACAUAUUGUAAAUUAUUAUGAAUGAGAUAAAUGUUGAUUUAUGAUUUUUUUUUUUUUUUUUACCAAAGAUAGGAGACUCGAAUCCGCAACCUCUUAAUUGAGUAUGGGGAGACUAUGCCACUUGAGCUAUUACUCAUUGGCAAAUAUUGAUUUAUGAUUGAUAGAGUUUUAGAGAUACUUUAUAUAAUAGGUGUUAUUAGUAGCAUUGGUUAAAACUUAAUGUAGAAAUCUUUGAAUUUAAGCUAAUUAUUGUAGUUUAUUAUAAUUGAGAUGAGUGGUGAUUUGAAUUGAACUUAAUGUCGAAUUACAUAGAGUCAACAAGUCCUAUUUCCAAGGAGGAAUAGGGACUCAGGAGUGGAGAGACUGCUUGAUGUAUUGCUACGCUACUUAGAGGAUGCUAGUUUUGCCCAUGUAGCUCCAGUUAUAGAUUUUCACUUCGAUAACUCGCUCCUGUUGGCAUUUGUUGAGAGAUGGCGUCUGAAGACCUAUUCGUUCCACAUGCCGUGGAAUGAGUGUACCAUCACCCUUCACGAUGUCAGUUAUUACCUUGGCUUGUAGACACAUGGGGAGUCGGUAGGUGGUUGUAGUCGAGAUUUUCAGACUUAUCAUGGUCGUGACACAUGGGAGAUGAUUGAGGAGGCACUUGGAGCAUAGUUAGGGGUGGCAAACGGGCCUAAACCCGCUAGACCAGCCCACGUAACCCGUCAAAAAAGAUGGACCGGACUGGAAAAUUGGAACCACCAAAGAGUAAAAGCUCGCCUAACUCGCACUACUUAAACCGCAAGCUUUGGCAGAUUUUGGCGGGGCGAGGUGCGUUUUUUCGCCCGCCAUUAAGAUAACAUGGUUGAAGGCUCGUCUGAUACAGUUGCCUGCUGACGCUGCACCAGAUGUACUCUGGCACUAUGCACAUUAUUACAUAUUUAGAUUGAUCGGUGGGUUACCGAUGACAGAUAAAUCUAGUGGCAUCGUACAUGCUAGAUGGAUCCUAUUGAUUGUUGAUUUUGAGAGAUGCAUGCAGUACUCGUGGGGUUCUCCUAUGCUCGCUUGGACCUACCACUCUUUAUGCAUGGCUAUCAAUGGGUGACUUAGCUUGAUGCAUCCCACUUAUGCCAUUUUAGAAUUACCACAGAUUUUCGGAUUGAUGCCCUCAAGGUAGGGACUUGGUGGAUAAUGAAGGUCAAAUAUCGGUUUAGAAUUUUUUAAAAAGAAUUGCCCCGUCAAUAGUAUAGUUCCAAAUCAACAAAUGACCCUAAUCAAAGUUUAAAUUAUUGUCACAAUUCAAAUUAAUAAAAAUCGAAAGUUUUAAGUCCCGAAUCGUUCUCCCAUGGAUAAAGUGAGGUGUGCGUAUCAUUGGAUAUGAGGGAAAAGGGGGGUGUAAUAGCAAUUGACAAAAAGUUAAAUUGUAAAAAAAUAAAGAAGCAAUAAAUGUUAUUUAAUUAAGAAAAUGAAAGGAGAUUCAAAUGUUAAAAAAGGUCUUGACAAGGGUUGAGAGUCAAGGUUUUCUAUCCUAGUCAUUAACUAUAAAUAUGACAAUUAUGAAGAGUUAAUCUCACUUAGUCAACCUUAACAUCAAGGGUAAGUCAAAUAGGCAUAAUUGAUCUUCUUCUCGAAAUUCUAACCAACUCACUAAUUAGCUUAGUGGAAACAAAAUCAACUAACAACCUUAAAUUACCAAUCAAUAUUGGACAUGAAUGACUCAAGGUCACCUAAGUCCUUAAUCCCAAGCCAAAAGUGUAAAAUCAACUCUAUAAUUAAAAGAGAUUUUAUCAAACACUUGGAAAGAAUAAAAGAAAAACAUCAUAAAUUACAUGAAUCAUAAAAGCUAUAACUACCAAACUCAAGAAAGCAAAAACAACAAUUCAAUUAAGCAUCAAUAAUAUGAAAAAUAUCAAAAUUGUAUUAAAGGAAACAAAAAUUUAACAAGAAUUCAUAAACUAAAGAGUAGCAAAAUAGAGAAAUUAACAAGAAAAACUAGACAAAUUAAGAUGCUAGAACAUGAGAAUGUAAAGAAAACUAAACUAAAACAAGAUUAAAAGCUAAAACUAGAGAGAAAUUAAGCUAAGAAACCCUAAAUUUUAGAGAGAAGUUGGAGCUUCGCUUUCUAGAAUCACCUAAAACAUAAUAAAAACCUCCACUAUCACUCCUUGGUUCAUCCCUCUUCAAUCCUUGGUUCAAUAGCAUCAGAAAUGAGUUCGAUUGAGCCCAAAACGGGCUAGAAAUCGCGGGUCAUGUGCACAGUUAAAUGAGGCAUGUGCUCAAACGCGUGCGUACACACACAAUGGUGUGUAUGCACACUUAAACUCAAUGUCCACUAUAGACAUAUGCAUAUUAUUUUGAAGCUCCAGAUGUUAGCUUUCUAAUGCCACUGAAACUGCUUUAUUUGGACCUCUAUAGCUCAAGUUAUGAUCAAUUUAGUACAAAGAGGUCAGGAUUGACAACUUUACAAAUCCGUCAUUUUUUCAUGAAUUCUUCCACUUUGCAUACUUUUCCUCUAUUUUUUCAAGUUAUGCUUACCUUCAAAAUCUUAAAUCACUCAAAGAAACAUAUCAAGGCAUCGAAUGGGAGAAAAGUGAAUUAAAAAUUUGCAAUUCUAAGCAUAAAAAACAUGUGAUUCACAAUUAAGCAAUACUAGGAAGAGAUUCACAAAAACAUGCAAUUUCAAAGAAUAAAUGCGAGGUAAGUUGAUAAAAUCCACUCUUUUCAAACAAAAAAAAAUCAUAAAAUAUGGAUUUAUCAGUGAUUUUUCAUUAGCUGCGAGGUCUAUAUGUUUACAAUGCUUUUUCUUGUAGCUGCUAUUUUUUUAUUUUGUGAUUGAACAUAUUGUUUUGUUUUGCAUCUGUAGGUUGGUUGGGCCGCCACAACAAUAUAGAGAUGACAUGAGUUAGAGGCUAUUGCAAUGGAGGCAGCAAUUGGACUUGGUCCUUUAUGAUAGGGUACUUAAGUUUACAUAUAGAGAACUUAGUAAAUUAUGUUUACUUAUGCUCAUUACUAAUUUGACUUAAAUAUAUAUGUGUAUGUUCUUUGUAGUUCUGGUGGACACCUUAUGACAUACAGCUGUUGUACGAUAUCAUUCCUCAAUGGGUGCGUAGUAACGAAGAAAAGCUGACACAUACUACAGUAGUGUCUUUGAUCUGUUUUCAUUUUCUCAAGUUCUAUCACCCAAAUCGAGUUAUUCGACAGUUCAGGGAUGCACAACAUAUACCCGAGCUACUAGUAAACAUUGAUGGGCUACUUACCUUGACCCUCAGACUAAAGGAUGAAUGGUGGUCGACGGAGCUUGCAUUGUGAUAUUCUUCAUGGAGAGACCGUUUCGAGCCUCUGCGAUAGACGAUAGUGUUACCCACGACGGACCUACGACCUUCGCAAGCCUAUUUUACAUGGUAGUCCCAAAUGUGUUGUAGUCAUUUCUUGUCACGACGCAACAGUCACCUAUUACAUGUGUUGUUGGAUGAUGCUCCUCAAGAGGCCCCACGGGCAUUAGCUUGCUCAUUAGGGAUAGGUGAAAACUACAUUUCAUAUACCUUGAACAGGCUCUCCAUGCGAUAUGCUAGAUGAGCAAACAUGGUCUAAUCGAGUCUUGCAAAAGUACAUGCCACUAGAGCAUGAUGGCAUGGAUAAUGGAUAGCCUGAAAGAGCUAGCAGUCGCAACUAUUAGUGUCUAAAUAAACCCUAAAUGUGGAUGGGUAAAAUGCAUCAACCAACUCCAUUUCCUCGACAUCAGAAAAGGAAGCAAAAAGAUUACAUUCACGGCCAUCUUGGGAAUAGCAUCCAUGUUUUUUUGAACAUUUUUUAUCAGGUAAUAUGAAAGCACGUUACCCCGACUAAGUUUAGCAAAUGUUUGUCGGCCAUUCCUAACAAACAAGUUUUGCAGCCACAUAUACGAUUAUACGUGGACUGAACAAUGGUUGCGACGGGAAGGUUACACGUCCCCCUUAGCACAAUAUUGAUGAUUCACUUAGAUAAGUUGGUAAUCAUGUGGCCAAAUCUUCGGCCAGAAUCACAGUGUGCCAGCCAUACCUCUUUGCAAAACAUAUUUGUCCACGUUGCAAAUUCCGAUUCGAGAUCUCUUAGUGCUCUCAUGUAUGCCAAGUAUUGCUCCUCAUUUGGGGAAUAUGCUGCAUUAAUCAAGGCUCGUUUUUCUUCUUUACACUUGAACUGAUUCAUGAAAUUAGCAUCCAUAUGACAGAUACAAUAAGCAUGAUAUUCCCCUAGAGGAUGCCAUCCACUACCCUCUUCUUCCAUUGCGGCAUGUAUGCCUUUAGCUCUAUCAGAUAUGGCAAGACUAUCUUCUUAGGGAGUCACAUGCUGUCACAAAUUCCUUAUAAAGAAUGACCAAGACUCUAUUGACUCUGACUUAACCAAUGCAAAAGCAAUGGAAAGAAUGUUUGAGUUGCCGUCUUGUGCAAUGGCCAUUAACAACCCUUUCGUAUCGCCCAUACAAAAGUGUGCCAUCAAUAGAUACUAGAGGUUUAAAAUACUUGAAGGCUUCAAUGUAGGGAGAAAAUGUCCAAAAUACCUUAUCAAACUGCAUAGAACCAAAGUUUCGAAGCAUGCCUUCAUAAUGUGGCACAAGCUUGAUAUCAUGAACUAAACGAGGCAAACAUUGCUCAAUCACAUUUAGCAACCUCGGAAGUUGGUUGUACAACUCUUCCUAAUCCCCAUUGAUUUGAGCAAUUGCUUUUUGCUUUGCCAUAUAAACUUUCCUGUACGACAGCUUAAAUCUAUAGCUCUAUUCCAUUAUCCCUUGACCCAUGUAGUACCCUAAUCGGAACGGAAGGAUUACUUAAUUGAUUAAUAUGUCAAUUAUUUUUAGAAAUCUUACAACAAUAACGUGAUAAACAUGUAACCAUUCUUCCAAAAACAUAUGAAAAAUUUUAAAAAAUUUACUUUCUAUCAUGGAAAAGAUAAGUCUGCAGAUAAGGUUGCUGUUGAAAUUUGAAUGAUCUUGAGAAAUUGUUGACAUCAAGCACGUGUGCAUAGCCUCGUAUUUAUGAACAUCCCAAUAACCAAGAUUUUAUCAAUAUCCAAUCCGAAUGCUCCAUCGACAACCUACAACAUACUCUCUGCACUAACAAUGAUACUUCAAAUAAUCAUAUUCAACCACCUGAUACUCUACACUCCAACAAAUAUUGUAGUUCUUGAUGGCAAGGAGAACAGACUCUCUACUGUAAAUCUAUGGCCAACCCUCAGCUCCAUGCUCCCAUUUGUUUUAUAGUCGUGACCGCCCCCUAACCAAAAGGCAUCGGCUUCACUUAUAUAGCAUCUAGGUCCAAUGUCGAAUAAUGGCUUUGGAACUUGGGCUCGGCUAGGAAGUGGUAAUGGUGGUGGCAAUAUAUGUUGAGUUUCUGGGACAAACUCUAUAUCAUUGCUAUUACUAUCAAAAUCAGAUUGGACUCACUCCUUGUCUUACUUGAACUCUUCAGAAACCAAAUUAACAUUAGAUUCAUCAUUUGGAGAGAAGACUGAAUUCUUGUGUGGAAUUCGGUUCUUUCCACCUAACUUGUUCCUACUACACAAUCUGUUGGGAGUUGGGACUGCUGCAAGUAAGGAAGAAGAACUAUUGCCAACAUCCACCAACUCAACGUAAAGUUUCAUCACUUGUUCAAUCAUAAUCUUUCCAUGACAAUCGAACAUAACUCGCACAUGAUGAUCAUCAUCUUUUAAGCACAAUACCUUAUAUUGAUUAAUCCUUAUGGCAUCCAAUGAAAUGUACCGAUACCCAAUUUUUCGAACAUGCUUAAUUCCAAGAAUUCCUAUGUUGACUAAUAUCGAACUUUUAAGUUCUAUCAACGAAUGCAAUCACCAAGUAUGCAUAACAAUAGAAUCACUGCAUUCAAAAUGUGCACCAUCAUCUUUACGUGAUAUUGUUGCAUUCAGAUAAACAACAACAACUAUACAUUCAGUAGUCAUUUGGAGAAUUUGUCUUUAUGAGAAAGAAAGAAGAAUAGAUGAAAGACAAUCCUUCGUGACAAUUUCACACGCAAUAGUAACAUCUACCGCCAUUGCUCAGUGUGUGCACUAUAAGAUUUUUAGGUUAUACUGCAGUCCAUGUCUAUAAUAAAGCUUGCUUACGAAAUUGUUAGUGAAUGUUUAAAACGGUAAAAAAUUAAAAAAAUAUUUAAGAGUUAAUAUGAUUUUAUUUUAUUAAAAAAAUCCUUGUGUUUCACCAUUUUAAAAAAAAAUACCAAAAAGGAAAUAGUAUUCGUGAUCUUACUAAGUUAAUGGCACAAUCGACUUGUUACAUACCUUAUUUUAAACGUAAGAACAAGAUAGAAGCAUAGCAUACAAAUUGUUAGGCUAGUGAAGACACUAUUUAAUAUUCUUACUAUUUCUUUAUUUUUUUCAUAGUCAAAUUACUGAAUCAUUUCUCAUUAAUUUAUUCAAUAAUUUAUUUUUCUUAAAUCAAUUCAUUUUUAUUUUCUCUUUUUCCCCUAUUAUGCGAAAUGUAGACUCUUUCAAUCUUUGAUAUCCACCAAUGGAUUCACAUAAACACCUCAUCAUUCCUCAUCUUUAAUGGCAUCUGAAUAAAAUCCAAUGGCUUUCUGCUACUCCUUCCCCUUGUAAACUAGUUAUUUUCUAUUUCCACCUUAAAAAAAAUAAAAAUAAAAAAAAGACAAUGAUAAUUGAUAAAUGCCUUUUUUUUCAAAAUUUUUAAUGUCGAUUUUUUUUGUGAAAAAAGAAAACAAACAAACAAAUGGAACAAUGUUUUUCAUGAUAAUUUCAAGAAUGUUUCAAAUGAAUCAUUUGAUCUAUGGUAGAGCCAGCAUAAAGAUGAAAGUUAUCAAGCCAUCAACCUACAAGUUUAGCUCAGCUAACAAAUGAAAAUACUCUCUACUGAACAAUUCCUAUCGUAUAAAAUUACCAUAAUUGUUUCAUUAAAACCAGAUUUGAUCACAUAAUUGUUUCUUAACACAAUAUUUUAACUUUAAUGAGAUUCGAACUUACAAGCCCGAAUAUACCACCAAAGUUUCUCAUUUUAAUUGUAAAGUUUAUAGGUUUAUUAUUUUUCUUAACAUGAUUAUAUGGGAACAUGCGAUUCAUGAUAGAAUAUUCCAACUUUUUUGAGCAUUAACCUGUGCAAAUGUUUCUUGCUACUCUUUGGGGUGCUUGGAGAUUGCGCAAGAGGCUAGUGUUUGAUCAAAAUCCUUUGGCUUUGAAGUUUGAAUCAGUAACCUUUUUUAUCAAGUUGAUUGCUUUGGUACAAUAUGCUUCAGGUAUAACUGCAUGAACACAGAAAAAAGACAAGAUGUUUGCAAAAUAACAUUUGAGAUUUCAUCUAAGGCUACAUCAGCUAGUAUGCUGCUGCAUGGGAGUUUACUUUAAAUAUGGGGGAAAUUAAAAGAUCGAAAGACAAUAAGAGUGCAGGGAAGCUUCACAACUAACAAGGAUUCCCUUUGAAUGAUGAAAAUCACAACCAUGUCAGCUUAAGAAUAAAUUAACAUCAAUGCACAUAUAUAAUUACAAAAAUAAAAAAGGAAAUAAUUAUAGAUCCGACAAGCCACAUAUAACAGCCAUCUAGUCACCGAAAAUGCCAUAAAAUAAGCAACAACAAAGAAAACACUUAGGUGUGGGUAAAGCAGAAUAAAGAAUCACAAUCAUGUGAAGAUCUAAAAGCAUUAAUAUGGAAUCGAAAGAUGAUCGAGAACAAAACACAAGUUAAAAAGAAAGAUACAAACAACAUUUUGUGAUGUCUGACAAGAAGAAUCUCACCAACUUUUAUCCUUGCAACAGGCCUUUAGAUAUCAUUUCACGAAGAAGUUUUUCCGCGUUAUCAUUUUCACCUCUUUCAAACAGAGCACGAAUGAUUAUUUCAUAAGUCACAGCAUUUGGUAAGCAACCAUUGUCUUCCAUUUUUGACAAGAAAGCCAAUGCUUCAGGAAGUAGGCCCUGUUUGCAAAGCCCCUUUAUCAUAAUAGUGUAUGUCCUCACGUCUGGACGAUAGCCUUUAAUGGAAAGAUCUUGAAAAAUCUCUUUUGCAUUUUUAAGUCUUCCACUUUUGCACAGGCCAUCUAUAAGUAUGUUGUAUGUAUACAUAUCUGGUUGAAUAACAUAAGUGCCUUGUCAUGUUGUUUGAUAUUGAACAAAGCAUCCAGCAAAGAACUGUAAGUGACUAUAUCAGCAGGUUGACCUCCAUCAUGCAUCUUUUCAAGAAGCUCCAAAGCACAAAGGAUUCUCCUUGAUUUUCCCAAGCCAUCAACUAGAGUAUUGUAUGUUACCGUGUUAGGAACCAAGUUCUUGCGACGCAUCUCUUCGAAGAGAUUCAAGGCGUCAUCGAUCAUUUUACUUUUGCAAAAGCCAUUAAUCAUGAUAUUGUAACUCCAAACAUUAGGACACACUCUACUCUCGGCCAUUGUGUUGAAUACAUAUUUUGCCUUAUUUACCUGAUUAACCAAACAAAAUCCGUCCAUGAAGCUGUUAUAAGUAACCACAUUUGGUUUCACACCAUGUUUUGUCAUCACAGCCAACACAUUCUUGGCAUCUUUGAUCUUUCCUUCCUUGCAUAGCCCAUCGAUCAAAAUACUAUAGGUACGAACAUUUGGAGUAAUGUUUAUGAGAAUCAUAUCAUUUAGCAAAUGAACGGCUUCCUUGAGUUGACCAGCAAGGCACAAUCCAUAAAUUUGAGUGUUGUACGUGAUAACAUUGGGAGAAAUUCCCUUAGCAAGCAUUUCAGAGUAUAAAUGGAAAGCAUCAUUUACAAGUGUAACCUUGUAAAGGCUAUCAAUAAUUGAGUUGUACAUGAAGACAUUAGGAACAAUCCCAUGCCGUGGGAUCUUUCUCAGCACUUGAAUAGCAGCAGAUGUGUGUCCGGUCUUACAGAGCCCAGUAAUCAAGGUCCCAUAAGUGACUUGAUUAAACUGAAAUCCAUGAACCAGCAGUCUGUCAUGAAAGCGCACUGCUUUUUCAACACUACCACAGAGAUAGAGACCUUUCAGGAUUGUUGUCAAUGUGACCGUAUUAGGUUGAUAAUCCAUUCUGAAAAUCUUGGCCAAUACAGAGAAAGCAAGCGUCAUACGACCCAUGCCGCAACAACAAUUAAUUACGAUGCUCAAAGUAAAUAAGUCGGGAGCGAUUCCCCUGGCUUGCAAUUGCUGAAAAAGGGAAAUGGCGGUGGAGAAAUGGUUGGUCUUGGCAAGAGAUCCCAAAAUCUUGGUGAAUUGGAUGAUGGACGGAGGGUGACGCAUAGAGAGCAUGCGAGAAAAGGAAUCAACAGCUUCAUCAAGUGAUUGGGGCUGAGAGUGAGAGUGAGAGUGAGAGUGUAGGGAUGAAGUUGAAGGGAAGCAAAGACGGAGAGGGGAGUAGGGAACACAACAAGGAGAGGGAUUUGGGAUUUGAAGAGCAUACCUUAACAUGAUUCGUGAGAAUGAGAAGAAUGACAACAUUCUUGCAACCACCAACAGAGUGAGGGUAGAAUCAAGCUUGUUCGAGGUUAUUUACUUAUUUAUUUAAUUGUUUCUACUUUUGUAGUUUUGUUAUCUUAUUUAGGCCACGGAUUUUAGUAAUUUCAAAUUGAACCCUCUGUUUUCAUUUUUUGUAAUUCUACAUUUACCCCUACGAUUUUUAGUUUCCAAAUUUCCCCUCUCCACCCUUAAACAUAAUUUGUGAUUCUGCUAGGGUUCUUGACGUUUUCGGCAGUCUGUCUUCUUCCGUCGUCGCUGUUUGUGCAAUGUGUGUCGCUGUCGUCGCCCUGUUUCUCUUUCUCGCCACCAACUCUGACUUUAUUCCUUCUCCCUCCGCCUCUGCCUCUGCCACCUACUCCAAACGCAUCAAGGUUCCAUUCUUUUCGCUUUUUCUAUGAAAACUACAUGGAGUGUUGAUGAAGUUCUUGUAGUUAAAAAUUACGUCUUGUUUUUGACGAUGUGGAUAGGUAGUUGAUCGAUUGAUUUCGUGGUGGCUAUAACUAAAUGACGAUGAUAAGUUAUAAAUUCAUUUUGUGUUUGAGGAACAAUAGAUUCUUAGUUUGGUACAUAUUUGCAUGUAUGUAAAUGUAGUAGGCAGAUACUGAAUUUGAUAUUGUUCAUGUUGGAUUGGAAUUUAUAUUCUUCUGUAAUUCUAUUCUUCUGUAAAUAAUCAUCAAUUUUAUUUAAUGGGAAAUCCUUUUAUAAUUUUCAUUCCCCACAUUUGCUUCUAUUUUUUGUAAUUUAAAUUUCGAGUAACAAAUGACAUAACAUUCUUCUUGGAAACAAAGUUAAAAGUAUAAUUCCUUUUUUAAAUUAUACUAUUUAAAAAUAUAAUAUAAUUUCUUGGGUGAAAAUUUUAUCUGCAAAAUGUAUUGGAACUUUAAGUUAAAAUAAUUUUUGUUGUUUUCACCGUUUCUCUCUGAAAAUAAAACAAACCAUUUUAAGACCGAAGUUUAUACUUACCUCUAGCUCCUCACUUUUAUUUACUAGCUAGUAACUCUAGCUUAGUAUUGUCCAAAACAGAAUCCUAUUUAGUUACUGUAGUGCUUGCUCAAUUGUUAGUUUUGUUGCCUUCAUCUAGCUGACCUUGCAUUUCUUCUAAAGUGUUUUAUAAUUUUGCAAUAUCUUGUCAUUUAGCUUCUUCAAGGUCAAUUAGUAUAUUGAGAAUGACAUAAUAUCAAUUCGUGUUUAUUAAUGAAUUGUUGAUGUAAAUUUCUUAGCUAGACUAAUUGUUAUGUAAGUUCUUCUGUGUAUUAUGAUGCGAAAGGAAAAGAUAGAGCAUUUUCCGGAUUAACAAAGUAGGAAUUCACUACUUUUAUUUACAAAAUUCAAUUCUUGUUUUAUGAUUUGUUUGUAACUUCCUAUUUUCACUAGCAUUAGUAUAAUUAGCCAUCCAUUUAGCCAUUGCAUUCUCUUUACUCAAAAUUGAGUUGUGUCAUUAUUUUAGCUUUUCUGCCCGGUUAUCAUUUUUAAUUCUUUCAUUAUCACAGCCUUGUGGUUGAAUAUGAUAUUUUUUAUUUUUUUCUCAUAAAGAAUUAGAGGUGACAACCUGGAUUAAGAAUGACCUUACUCAUUACAAGAAGUAUAAACAUACAUAUAACAAUCCUACUCCUUUUUGGUUUUAUGUUUUGGGGGGGGAGGGGGGAUUGUUUAUCAAAUCAAGGAAAAGAUUUAUCAUUCUUUGCUGAAAUUCACUCAAGAGUGUUGCAUAUUAAGGUGAUUGCUAUGGUAUUUAAAAGGUGGAGCUUAAAUUGCNNNNNNNNNNNNNNNUCAAAAUUAAUAUAUAUAUAUAAUAGGAGUAUUUUAAUCAUUUUUUAUAAUAAGGGUAUUGUAAUUAUUUUUUAUAAAAAAUAAUAUUAAUUUAGACCAGUUCAAAAUUUGAUUUACCAUUUUCUCGCUCAAAUCAAUUUGCCUAGUUUAAUUUUAACAAAAAUAACACGAUUUAAUCGAUUAUAUGUGUUAAAUUUUAAUUAUUAAAAACCAUCUUUAAAAAAAGACAUUUUAGUUGUCCUUAUCCGAGUGACUCCCAUUAUGGGUACCAUAAAAUUCAUCUUAAGAUAAACUCAGAAUUAAGAAUUUGACGUUUGAAAAGGUGAAUGUACAAGAGAGAAUUUCCUCUCUAGCAUUGAAGGAUUAUGAUUGUUCAUGCUUUUAUUAACUGGUAAGUCUAGACUAAAGUUUUAGUCUUUAAAAUUGCAGGAGGUGCAGUUUCAUCCAGAGAGCAUUGUAUAACAACUGAAGAAAUGGAAUUGAGGAAAAUGAGGCUGGUAGUUCACAAAAAUAUUUAAUUAGAAACGAAUGUUUAUCCAUUGUAACACUUGUAUUUUGCGGGCUAACAUACAUGAAAGAAAAACAUUUUUAGCAAAACCAUUAAAGAACAGUUUAUUCUAUUUAGACCAUAGCUUAGGAUUUUAUUAAUUAAAUAGUAGAAAACUCAAGAUGAUGUGAAAUUGAUCCUAGUGAAUACCCCCAAAUAAUUUAGAAUUAAAAGCCUAUAUUGAUAUUGAACAAUCAUGAGAGCCGUUAGAUGAUUUGACUGAUUUGACUAAAUUUUCAUCUAAAUAUUGUCAGCUAUCAACUUCACGUGAAGUCGAUUGCAUCUGAGUUUUCACCAUGAAUUAUCAUUCAGCAACUAUCAUCAUAUUUAUUAAUCAAUAAGUACAAAAAUAAAUGCAAGUGAUGGAUAAAUUAACAAUCUCAGCAAUAAAGGGUACAAAGAUAUAAAUAGAACGAAACCAAAAGUGCAAAGCUUGAUCUUACACAAACAGCUGCACAACACCUGCCUCGAACUACCUUAACACCGCUCAAAUGCAUAUGUGCAUGCCAGGGAAAUGAACUUGUGAACGUCAAGCCAUUUCAAAUUUUCAAUCCAAUAUGAACAAUAAUAUCCACAUUUUGUGUAGUCUAACCCAGUAAUAUUCAGUAUUUACCUACUACACUUGCAUGCUUUCUUAUAUAGUUAUACAUAAAGACUAAGAAUCUAUUCCUCAAACACAAAAUGAAUUUAUAAUUUUAUAUACUGAUCAUCACCAUUUAGUUAUAGUCACCAUGAAAUCAAAUAGGUUGAAAAUAAAGGGUUUCAAAUCAUUAUUUAAAUCUACAUAGCAAAAAUUAAGCAAAGGGUAUCAAAUUAUGGUAUGCAAAGCCAUACUAGCAGAAUGAAGCAGAAAGGAAAAAGGAAGAUACCCUAGAUGCAGUUGCCGGAUUAAAAUAACUAGAGCUACAGCCACCAACUGCCACUUUAGGGAAAUCAUUGGUAUCACAUAUGCAUGUCCAUAAUGAUUCACUACUAUCUUCAGCAUCUGCAUAGUAGGUAAAGCAUAUAUCAUAAAGGUUGAACACAUAAAAAGCAUUGCAUGCUUACUAGUCACAAUUACAAACUUUCGGAAAGAAGAAAAUCUACAUUUCCACUUGUUUAGGCAAGUCUCGUUCGGUUCGUCUGCUAACAAAAACAAGAAGAAGCAACAACUAAGUAGAAAACCUAUGUAAACUAAUAAAUCACUAAAACAAUGCACUUUUUACUUCUUACUAUAUCAAAGACAAGUGCCUAAAUAUCAUUAAUAACAAGGUAUCCUUCUAGUGACACAAUUAGGGAGUAAAUUACUAAUCGGUUUACAAGUUAUGAUUACUAAACUAAACCAAAUGUAUUGUGGAUGGUGCCACUAACCACAAAAUGAGUGCUGAAUCCAGAGCAACCUAAUAGCAAGAACAGCAGCAACUUUGAGCUGAGACUUCAUCAAUUCCAACCCAUACACUACAAGGAAAGUCCAAGAGUGUUUUAGCAAAUCAGACUUCAUAAUCUAACAGGAAACUUUGAAAUACUAGAGAGAAAAAAAAAGCUAAAUCCAUAAACAUGUGUAUCAGGUUCUUGCCUCUAAUUCUGCAUUUUUAUCUAUAAAUGAUAAGAUGCAGUUAUUAGAUCCAAAUAAAUAUAGAAUAACCGGAAUGUGAAAAAGUUAGAUGGAGCUUCAUAUGAAGUGGACACAUACUUCAAAUAUUAAAAAGCAAACUGUUUCAUGUAUGCCAAUCAACAGUAGUUCAAUCAAAGCUUAGAUUUUCAUUAUCCAUGUAUAUUUGGACCUUAGAUUAAAAGAAAAAUUCAUUUACUCUAUAUGACAAGAAAAUCAAUAUCUUGUUUUGUCAAAGUUAAUCGCAUUUGUAUAGCCUUACACGCAACUGCAUGAACACAGAAAAUGCGAAGAUGUUUGCGAAGUAACUUUGGAAACUUGAUCCAAAAUACAUUAGAUGGCUACAUCACCAAGUAUGUUUCUGCAUGGGAAAAUGAAAAGAUUUGAAACACAAUAACAAGACUGCAGGGAAGCUUAACAAGUGAGUCCCUUUGAAUGAUGAAAUCAAUAUCAGUGCACAAAUAUAAUAGAAAAGGAUAUAACAAUAGAUCCGCACAAGACACAUGACAACCAUCUAGACACCGAAAAUGCCACAGAAAAUAUUUAAGUGUGGCUAAAGCAGAACAAAGAAUCGCCAUCAUUUAAAGAAAUAAACGCAUCAAUAUGAAACGGAUAGAUGAUCAAGUAGAAGGUAACAAAACACAAGUUAAAAAAAAGGACCUUCUAACACCGGGUAAUAACCACAUUUUGUGAUGUCUAACAAGAAGGAUCUCAUCUACUUUUAUCCUUGCAAUAGGCCUCUAGAUAUCAUUUCAUGAAGAAGUUUCUCCGCUUUAUCAUUUUCACCAUUUUCAAACAGAGUACGAAUGGUUAUUUCAUAAGUCACCGCAUCCGGUAAGCAACCAUUAUCUUCCAUUUUUGACAAGAGUGCCAAUGCUUCAUGAAGCAAGCCCUCUUUGCAAAAUCCAUUGAUCAUAAUAGUGUAUGUCCACACGUUUGGACGAUAGCCUUUCAUAGAAAGAUCUUGAAAAAUCUCUUUUGCAUUUUCGAAUCUUCCACUUUUGCACAGGCCAUCCAUAAGUUGCUCAAGCCAUCAAUAAGAGUGUUGUAAGUUACCGUGUUUGGAACCAGGUAUUUACAACGCAUUUCUUCAAAGAGAUUCAAGGCUUCAUCGACCAUUUUACUUUUGCACAAGCCAUUAAUCAUGAUACUGUAACUUUGAACAUUAAGUGACACUCUACCUUGGACCAUUGUGUUGAAUACAAAUUUUGCCUUAUUUACCUCAUUAACCAAACAAUGCCCAUCCAUUAAGCUGUUAUAAGUAACCACAUUUGGUUUCACACCAUGUUUUGUCAUCAAGCCCAACACAUUCUUAGCAUCUUUGAUCUUUCCUUCCUUACAUAGCCCAUCGAUCAAAGUAUUAUAGCUAUGAACAUCUGGAGUAAUGUUUUUCAGCAUCAUAUGAUUUAGUAAAUCAAUGGCUUCCUUAAGUUGGCCGGCAAGGCACAAUCCAUAAAUUAGAGUGUUGUACGUGAUAACAUCGGGAGAGAUUCCCUUAGCAAGCAUUUCAGAGUAUAAAUGAAAAGCAUCACUUACAAGAGUAACCUUGCACAAGCUAUCAAUAAUUGCGCUGUACAUGAAGACAUUAGGAGCAAUCCCAUACCGUGGGAUCUUUCUCAACAGUUGAAUAGCAGCAGAUGUGUGUCCGGUCUUACAGAGUCCAUUAAUCAAGGUCCCAUAAGUGACUUGAUUAAACUGAAAUCCAUGAGCCAGCACUCUGUCAUGAUAGUGUAGUGCUUUUUCAACAUUACCACAUAGACAAAGACCUUUAAUGAGUGUAUUCAACGUUAUGGUAUCAGGCUGAAAACCCAUCCUGAAAAUCUUGGCCAAUAUAGAGAAAGCGAGAGUGAUUCGACCCAUGCCGCAGCAACAAUUGAUUAAAAUAUUCAUAGUAAAUAUGCUGGGCGCAAUUCCCCUGGCUUGCAAUUGCUGAAAAAGGGAAAUGGCGGUGGGGAAAUGGUUGGUCUUGGCAAGAGAUCCCAAAAUCUUGUUAAAUUGGAUGAUGGAUGGAGGAGGGCGCAUAGAGAGCAUGCGAGUGAAGGAAUCAACAGCUUCAUCAAGUAAUUGGGACUGAGAGGAAGAGUGUAGGGAUGAAGUGGAAGGGAAGCAAAGACGGAGAGCGGAGUGGGGAACAGAAUAAGGAGAGAGCCUUGGGAUUUGAAGAGCACACCUUAACAUGAUUCGUGAGAAUGACAACAUUAUAGCAAUCAAAGAGGAGUAUGGUGGUAAAAUGGAAUGCGGAGUUGAAGAGUGCUUCCACCUGAGAGAGUGAGCGUAGUAUCAAAGCUUGUUCGAGGUUAUUUGUUUAAUUGUUUCCACUUUCCACUCUUUUUUGGAAGGAUUGAGAAUAUAAAAUGUUUUACGCAAGGAUAUUAUUUUUUUUUAGAUAACUAUUUAUGUAAAUAUGUUUAGAUCUGAACUUUUUACAAUGUGAAAAGAAAGGUUUUAGUGUAGAGUGUGGUUUAAACUUUAAAGAAGAUUGUGUACCAAAUAGAUUUAACUAUGAUGCAUGCAUAUACGGGAUACGACACAAUAUGAGAUAUAUCACAUGCGAAUUUUAAAAUUUUAGAUGAUACGAGGACACGUAUACAUAUAAAAUAUAAAGUAUUUUUUAGAUAAAUCGUAAUAAUAUUUUAAUAUUUUGUUAAUAUUAAAAUAUAAAUUAAAAUUUUUAAUGUCUUAUUUUAAUUAUAUUAAGUAUUUAAAAUAUUUUUUGUUUUAAUAAAUAAUAAUAUAUAUUAUAUCUAAAUUUAUUUUAAGAAUAUAUGUUAAGACUAGACAGGCUUAUACGUGAUGGUAUUUAAGUGUGUGUAGGUGUGUCCAAAAAAAAAUUUUUUAUUUUUUAUUAAGACACGUUUAAACACCGCAGACAUACAUGUCGGUGAGUGUUGUAUCCGAAAUAUAUUUAACACGCGAACACGACAACUCAACAAAAUAUCAGUGCUUCAUAAGAUUUAAAAAAAAGCAUUUAUUACGUUUCAAAGUGAGCCUGAUGCUUCAAAAGACAGGGAAGAUGGAGAUCUAGUGGUGCGUAAUCAUAAAAUACUUGGCAAGGAAUAGAAGAUUUAUUUUAGUCUAGUAUUUUCAGAGGAAAAUAGGGUGAACGAUCUGAUAGCAAAUCUCAGAGCUUCGAGUGAGUACUUUGAGUAGUUUGAUCCUCUUCUAAAUAUUGUUGAAGUUCUUUUCCAAGAUCAAAAUGUUGUUUGAGUUAUCGAGGUUUUCUAUAUGUCUUUCUUUUGUUAUUUAGUUUUUUUAAUUUUUGUUCAAACACCAAAAAGAAUUGUGAAAAUAAAUUAAUUUUAAUGAUGUAUGUGUAAAAUUUUAUACUAUUAAGACAUAAAAAAUUAAGGAUGGAUUUAGUUUGCGUUUUUAUUUUUUGUUUUUAUUUUUAAUGUUUUUUAUUUUUUGAAUUUUGUAAAAAAUAAAGUAAAAACAGAAAGUGAAAAUAGAAAAUAGAAUUUUAUUAUUUUCAUUAUUUUUACUUUUUCUCUUCACAAAAUCUAAAAAAUAAAAAAAUUACAAAUAAAAAUGCAUACUAAACACAACUUUAAAAUUUUCAAAGUUGCCAAAUCAUUAGUCUUCUAUUAUCUUAUUUAGGCCACGGAUUUUAGUAAUAAGAUCUCAAAUCGAACCCUUUGCUUUUCAUUUUUCGUAAGUUUAUAAUUCUAUAUUGAGUAAAAUUCUAUCUCGACCUCUAACUAUUUUGCUAGCUCUUAUUUCGUUCCUCAUCAAUUGAAAAAUGACAUUGUAGCCUCUAACGAUUAACCCUUCACAGACACACCCUUUGACGCCAUUGAUCUUUUCUUGCUUCUUGAUUCUCUCUCAAUGAGCGUGUUUAAUUGGACAAAAUCAAUUAUUUUAUUUUCAUUAAUCCAUUCACAAUUUCACAUUUAAAAUUAAUGAUUUAAUUAAUUUUAGAUUCAAAAAUCACAAAUCACUAAUAAGAAACAUUCAAAAUUAAAACAUUGAAACAGACUCAACAGAACAUAAAAGAAAACAGCUAAACAGUGUCACUAACUUUCUAUUGGCAGCAUGACGACGACGGCGAGACGACGAAGACACGACGGUGACAUGACAGCGCAGUAGCUGGAUGCCUCGAACAGCGAAGUCACCGGGGGAAUGGACGACGUGCUGAGCUAGAAGAGAAGGUCUGGCCGUAUGGGUUUGGGAGGAAGGAGGAGGCCACGGAGAUGCCGACAACCGUGGACAGCGGCGGCAGUUCCAUUGACGAAGCUGGGUUUUUGGUUUGGAAACUUUGGGGAACUUUAGGCUGCGUUUGUUUGCAGAGACAGGACACUAGACAGGGACAUAGAAACACAAAAUCGUGUUUGACAAAGGAGACAUGGACAGAGACAAUGUGUUCAGAGAUACUGAAUUAGUAUAUUUUGUGUGCAUCCUGACAGUAAGGAUACAGAGACACUAACAAGGGACACAACUUAUUUUUCAUUUUUCUUUCAUUAUUCUUGUUGAUUUUUCAUAAUUAUAUUUUUUUAUUAUGAUAUUUUUCGUCAUAAAUUUUUUGAAUGAAAAAAUGUGAAUAAAUUGGAUUUUCAUAAUUUGUUCUAAUUUAUUACCUAACAGAAUACAAGAACACAAAAUUUUGUGUCUAUAUCCUUUAUGUUUUGUUCCCAAUGUCUUGUCUUGUCCUGUUUUCAUAAACAAAUGCAACCUUAGGGCUUGCUGGUGAGUGUUUUUUGAAUAACAAAAACAAUGCUGUUUCACAAGAACCAAUCGGUUCUUGGUCCGGUCCAAUCGACUGAUUCAGCGAUUUCUGAACAGUUUGGAGAUUGGCAAUUUUAGGAAAAAGAUCAGACCAUUUUUCACGUCGGUUUUUGGUUGAACUGGUUCGACCGACCAGUCCGAUCCGAUUUCUAGAACAUUGCUAUUAUCUUAUUUUAGGCCACAAAUUUUAGUAGUAAGAUUUCAAAUUGUACUCUCUGCUUUUCAUUUUCAUAAGUUUGUAAUUCUAUAUUGAGUAAAAUCUCAUCUCGACCUCCAACUAUUUUGCUAACUCUCAUUUGUCCCCUCGUCAAUUGAAAAAUGAUAUUGCGAUCCCUAACGAUUAAUUCCGUCCGAUAUUAUAUUCCUUCUGUUAAUGUGUCUGUCCAGAACUAACAUAUUUUGCCUACAUAUCACAUUGGUUGAUAGGGUAUCAAAGAAACCAUUUCAAUAGAACACCCCUGCUGUCUCAACAAUAUGCUGCAGUAAAAUAGGCCAAUAUCAAUUAAGGCAAUGCAUCCACUAUCAAUUAUAUGUCAAUUCCAGCACCAGCAUGUGGGAAAUGGAUCCUCUCCAGUUUUUUCAACACUUGACAAAAUACAGUGUAAUUUCUCACCUUUGAUUUUAAUAGUGGGACCAAAAAUAAAUAAGAGAGAGAAUGUGGUGAAUGGUUAGAUUAAACACUGCACACCAUCCAGUUUUUUAUUCACUGGAGAGGAUCCGCUCCCCCAGCAUGUGAUGUCCACCAAUGGAUUCACAUAAACACCUCAUCAUUCCCUCACCUAAAUGCACUUAAAAUUGUCAUUCAGCAACUAUCAUCAUAUUUAUUAAUCAAUCUUUAAUUACAAAAAUAAAUGCCACUAAUGGACAAAUUAACAAUCUCAGCAAUAAAGGGUACAAAGAUAUAAAUGGAACGAAACUAAAAGUGCAAAGCUUGAUCUUACACAAACAGCUGCACAACACCUGCCUCCAACUACCUUAACACCGCUCAACUGCAUAUGUGCAUGCUAGGGAAAUGAACAAUAAUAUCCUCAUUUUGUGUACUCUAACCCAGUAAUAUUCAGUAUUUACCUACUAAACUUACAUGCUUUCUAAUACAUAAAAACUAAGAAUUUAUUGUUCCUCAAACACAAAAUGAAUUUAUAACUAAAUGAUGUGGAUAGGUAGUUGAUCAAUUGAUUUCAUGGUGACUAUAACUAAAUGAUGAUGAAAAGUAUAUAAAUUCAUUGUGUUUGAGAAACAAUAGAUUCUUAGUUUGGUACAUAUUUGUAUGUAUGUAAGUGUAGUAGGGUGAUACUGAAUUUGGAAAUUUGAGAUUCACAAGUUUGUUUCCCUGUGUCUGCAUCAAUUUAUAAUUUUUCUCUUGAAGUUGUGUUGCUUUUAGUUGUCCUUCUUCUGCUACUUUAAUUCUAGCUUGAUUCUCAUUUUCAAUUUCUGAGAACUUUUCUUCAAACUCUACUCUUGGUGAACUGGAUGAUGGAUGGAGUACCACACAUAGAGAGCAUGCGAGUGAAGGAAUCAAUAGCUUCAUCAAGUGAUUGGGACUGCGAGUGAGAGUGUAGGGAUGAAGUUGAAAGGAAGCAGAGACGGAAAGCAGAAUGGGGAACAGAAUUUGUGAUUUGAAGAGCAUACCUUAAUUUGAUUGGUGAGGAUGAGAACAAUGACAACAUUCUUUUCUUGCAAUCAAUGGAGUAUCACAAAAGGGAAUGUGUUGAAUUGAAGAGUGCUUCCACCUGAGAGAGUGAGAGUAGUAUCAAGCUUAUUCGAUUUCUUUAAUUGUUGAUUUGUUUCUACUUGAAAAAUUUGCCAAAACUAAAGAUUUAGUAAUCUUUUUAUUAUCUUAUUUUCGGCCACGAAUUUUAGUAAUAAUAUUUCAAAUUGAACCCUCUGUUUUCAGUUCUUAGUUCUUUAUAUUUUUUAUUUUAUAGAAAAACUAGUUAUUUUCUAUUCUACGUUAAAGAAAACCCCUCAAAAAACAAAUGAUAACUGCCUACUGCCUUUAAUUUUUAAUGUCGAUUUUUUUUUUCUGAAAAAAGAAAACAAACAAACAAAUGGAACAAUGUUUUUCAUGAUAACUUCAAGAACGUUUCAAAUGAAUCAUUUGAUCUAUGGUAAAGCCAGCAUAAAGAUGAAAGUUAUCAAGCUAUCAACCUACAAGUUUAGCUCAGCUAACAAAUGAAAAUACUUUCUACUGAACAAUUCCUAUCAUAUAAAAUUACCAUGAUAAAAUCUAAUAAGCCAUUAUUAAUCUUGAAACAUAAUAUGCGCAUGCAACUUGUCUUUGUAAGAUCAGUAUGACAAAAAGAAGUGAAUAAACUUCAUUAAAAUCAGAUUGAUUAUAUAAUUGUUUCUUUACACAAUAUUUUAACUAUAAUGAGAUUCGAACUUAAAAGCUCGAGUAUAUCACCAAAAUUUCUCAUUUUAUUGUAAAGUUUAUAGGUUUAUCAUUUUUCUUAACAUGAUUAUAUGGGAACAUGCAAUUGAUGAUGAAGUGUUCCAAAUUUUGUGAGCAUUAACCUGUGCAAAUGUUUCUUGCUACUCUUUGGGGUGCUUGGAGAUUGUGCAAGAGGCUGGUGUUUGAUCAAAAUCCUUUGGCUUUGAAGUUUGAAUCGCGGUUCCUUUAUAUGCAUGCUUUCAGACAGGUCUGUUUGACUGCUAUUGACCAUCUCCUUCUACUUGGCAGGAUGGCUGCCCUUUGUGGACGAAACUAAGCAGGUGGUCCCCCUGGCUGAUGUGCUACCCUUCUUAGCUGGGGCUUGAGGAGAGCAAUUGUUCUGCCUCUUCUUUCCUUUGUUCCAUAUAUGCCAAAUUGCCAAUCAAUAGUAGUUCAAUCAAGCUUGGUUUUGUUACCCACGGAUAUUUAUACCUUGAAUUAAAAGCAAAAUUUAUUUACUCUAUAUAACAAGAAAAUCAGUUACCUUAGCAUGUUUUGUCAUCACAGCCAACACAUUCUUAGCAUCUUUGAUCUUUCCUUCCUUGCAUAGUCCAUCGAUCAAAGUAUUAUAGGUAUGAACAUCUGGAGUAAUGUUUUCCAGCAUCAUAUGAUUUAGUAAAUCAAUGGCUCCCUUAAGUUGGCCCGCAAGGCACAAUCCAUAAAUUAGAGUGUUGUAGGUGAUAACAUCGGGAGAAAUUCCCUUAGCAAGCAUUUCGGAGUAUAAAUGAAAAGCCGGACUUACAAGUUUAACCUUGCAGAGGCUAUCAAUAAUUGCGCUGUACAUUACGACAUUAGGAACAAUCCCAUGCCGUGGGAUCUUUCUGAACACUUGAUGAUUGUUGUCAAUGUUACGGUAUCAGGCUGAAAACCACUCCUGAAAAUCUUUGCGAAAGCAAAGAAAGCAAGAGUGAUCCAACCCAUUCCGCAGCAACAAUUGAUUAAGAUAUUCAAAGUAAAUAAGUUGCUGAAAAAGGGAAAUGGCGGUGGGGAAAUGGUUGGUCUUGGCAAGAGAUCCCAAAAUCUUGGUGAAUUGAAUGAUGGAUGGAGGGCGACGCAUAGAGAGCAUGCGAGUAAAGGAAUCAACAGCUUCAUCAAGUGAUUGGGGCUGAGACUGAGAGUGUAGGGAUGAAGUUGAAGGGAAGCAAAGACGGAGAGCGGAGUGGGGAACAGAAUUUGGGAUUUGAAGAAGAGCAUACCUUAACAUGAUUCGUGAGAAUGAGAACAGUGACAACAUUCUUGCAAUCAAGAGAAGUAUGGUAAAAUGGAAUGCGAUGAGUUGAAGAGUGGUCCCACCUGAGAGAGUGAGAAUAGCAUCAAGCUAGUUCGAGGUUGUUUGUGUCAUGUUUCUACUUCUAAAUUUUGAAUUGGUAAUGUUUAAAAAUAUUUGUAAGUUUAUAAUUCUACAAUUACCCCCCAAGUUUUUACUUUCCAAAACCCUUAAAAGAUAAUUUGUGCAUUGCCGCUCGCUGCGCCCCCUGUUGCCCUUCCUCGCCACCGAGUCAACCUCAGCCUCUUCUGUACUACAUUGUGUUUUGGCUUUGCUACCCUGUUGUUUCUCGUCCGUGCCACUAUCUUUUAGGGUGUUCAAAUCUAAACCAAUUUAAAUUAAAUCGCUCAUCUAAUUCGAUUCAAACCGAAAACCGAUUAAAACCGCAUUAAUUCGGAUUUGAUUGGAUUUUAUUUUUUGCAAAUCGCUGGAUUGGAUCAGAUUUCGGAUCUACUUUUUAUAACCGAUCCAAUCUAAUCCAAACCGCACAAUAUGCUAUAAUAUUAUUAUUUUAUUAUUAUAGUUACUAUUAUACUUAUAACAUGUUCAAUUUGUUAUACAUUUUUCUAUUAUUCAUGUAUUAUUAUUAUUUAAUAAAUGUUUUAUGUUGAAAAUGUUAUUUAUUUAUUUAUUUUAACUAACCUAUAAUUUUAUUUCUAUUGUUAUGUUAUAGUUAGUUUUUUAAGAUAUUGUUAAGACUUGUUAUGUCAUUGUUGAUUACUUAAAAUUUGAUGUUGAGACUUGUUAUAUGUAAUUAAUUUUUUUUAUUUAAAAAACCGCAAAUCCAAACCGAUCCAAACCGCUUGUAAUCGGAUCGGAUCGGAUCGGAUUUCCAAAAAAAUUCAUCCAAUCCAAACCGCACCGCACAUAAAUUAAGCGUUCGGAUCGGAUGACUUUUUCUCUUAAAACCGAACCAAACCGCACUGCAAACACCCCUACUAUCUCUGACUCCAUUCCUUCUCCCUCCAUCUCUGCCUUCUCUGCCACCAGCUCCAAAGGCAUCAAGGUUCCAUUCUUCUCGCUUUUUCUAUGAAAACUACAUGUGAGUUUUGAUGAAGUUCUUAGGUAAUUGAUCGAUUGAUUUCAUGGUGACUAUAACUAAAUGAGGAUGAUAAGUAUAUAAAUUCAUUUUGUAUUUGAAGAUUAAUAGAUUCUUAGUUUGGUACAUAUUAGCAAGUAUGUGAGUAUAGUAGGCAGAUAUUGAAUUUAUAUUAUUCAUGUUUAUCUCUGCGUCAAUAUAUCAUUUUUCUGUUUAAAAGUUGUGCUUCUUCUGCCUCUUUAAUCCUACCUUAAUUCUCAUUUUCAAUUGCUAAGCACUUUUCUUCAACUCUUCUACUUCAAUCUGUGUUAUCAGAAAUUAAAUGAAUUGCUUCUCAUAGAUAAUUAUGAAAUGAAAAACAAUGAAUAUAUGCUGCUAUUUGUUAGUAACUGAGUAGUUCAUCCCAUUGGUAUAUGGACUUUUGACAUAAUGUUUUCUCCUGUUGAAUUUUUUACUCUGACUUGUCACUUGAUGGUUUGGCAUUGCAUCCAAAACUGUGUUAGCACUUAGUAGCAUUUGCUAUCUUAACACGGAUAAGUCUAUAUGUUUGGUUAGAUGACGAAUUUUCUACUCUUUUUGUAAAUAAUCAUUAAUUCUAUUUCAUGAAGAAUCACUUUAUAAUUUUUAUUUCCCACAUUUCUUUUUACUUUUUGUAAUUUAAAUUUCAAGUGACAGAUGGCAUAACAUUAUUCUUGAAACAAAAACAAAAAGGUAAAAGUACACUCCUUUUUUUGACUUGAAUAUUUAAAAAUAUCACAUAAUUUCCUGGGUGAAAAUUUUAUGUGCAAAAUGUAUUGGAACUUCUAGCUAAAGUAAUUUCUUUUUUUUUUUCAUGAUUUCACUUUUGACAGUGAAAUGUACUAUUUUAAGACAAAAGUUUAGACCUACCUCCAGCUCCUCAUUUUAGUAACUCUACCUUGGUGUUGUCUACAACAUGAACGUCUUUAAUUAAUUACUAUAGCACUUGCUCGAUUGCUAGUUUUGUUGCUUCCCUAUUAUAAUUGCAGCGUGGGCUUUAUCUUGCUGACCCUAAACUGUUUUGUAGUUUUGCAAUCUCUUGUCCUUUAGUUUCUUCAAGGUCAAUUAGUAUAUUGAGAAUAGUAUAAUAUUCAAUCACGGUUACUACUGAAUUCUUAUGAUGUAAAUUUUUUAGCUAGACUAAUUAUUAUGAAAGUUCUUUGGUGUAUUAUGAUGCGAAAGGAAAAAAUGGAUUAUUAGAUUAUCAAAUUAGGAAUUCACUGGUUUUAUUUACAAAAUUCAAUUGUUGUUUUAUGAUUUGUUUGUAUUUUUCUAUUUUCAGUAGCAUUAGUAUAGUUGCCCAUCAGUUUAGCCACUGCAUUCUCUUUACGCAUAAAACUUUUUUUGUGUCAUUAUUUUAGCAUCAUUGGCCUGUUAUUAUUUCCAGUUCUUAGCUAGUAGAUAUCACAGCAUUGUGAUUAAAAUGGAGAGUUUUCCUCAUGAAGAACUUGAGGUGGCAGCUUGGAUUGUGAAUGGUCUUAUAAUGCCAGCUUGUCACAAGAAGUAUAAAUAUCCACAGGUAACAUUUCUAUUAUUCCUUUUGUGGAAAUUUCUUUUCAUCAAAUAAGGAAAAGAUUCAUCAUCCUUUUGCUUAAAUUCAGGAAACAUUCAAGAGUGCACAUAUUAAAAUAACUCAGAAUUAAGAAUGUGAUGUUUGAAAAGAUGAAUCUACAAAUAAAGAAUUUCCACUAUGGUAUUGAAGGGAUUAUUUUGAUUGUUCAUGCUUUUAUUAAAGAUGAAACUCCAAUGAAGAUUUUAAAUUAUCUUCAUGUGAAAAUGCUUCUUUUAGCCAUUGGACAGUGAUUGCAGGGUUUGAUUUUAGUAUGUUAUAAAAGUGUUAUCUUUUAUUUAAAAUGUGACUAAACAUAUAACUCAAAAUUUAAUCAAAUAUCUUUAUGAGAUGUUUUUGACAUCUUUAUAAUAGGUGUCUUUAUUAAAUGGCAAUUCUAUACCAAAAUUUGAGUUCUUCAAAUUUGCAAAGAUGCAGUUUCAUCCAGAGCGCAUUAUAUACUGAAGAAGCGAAAAGUGUUUGAAAAUUUAUCAAACUCAUUGAGAAAAAAGACGUCAGUUGUUCAUGAAGAUGUUAGUACCGAAUGCUUAAUGCAUUUUUAACAUUCGUGUAUGAGGGCCAACAUUCAUGAAAGGAAAAACAUUUUUAGCAAUAUCAAAUAAAGAACAGUUUAUUCUAUUUUGACUUUUGACCAUGGCUUAGAAUUUAUUAAUUAAAUAAAAAAAACAGGUUGAAGUGAAAUUGAUCCUUGCAAAUACUCCAAAAUAAUUCAGAAUCCAAGGCCUAUAUUUGAUAUUUUGAACAUUCAUGCGCAAAAAUUUAUCAGUAUAAUUUUGUGUUACAAAUUUAUGACGAAAAAAUACGUGGAGGUAACAAACACGAGCUAAAUGCACUGUUUCAACUAAGUGGGUGUUGGAAUUCAGAUUUUAACCCAAACAUUGUUACAAACCAUAAUUCACAAGACAUUAUAUGGACAAGGCCUUCACUUGUUAUAAGCAAUGCAUCGACUAUCAAUUAUAUGUCAAUUCCAGCCGCAGCAAAAGCAUGUGAUGUAUAACACUCCCUCAAUCUUUGAUAUCCACCAAUGCAUUCACAUAACUCCUCAUCAUUCCCUCACCUAAAUGCACUUAAAAUUGUCAUUCAGCAAGUAUCAUCAUAUUUAAUAAUCAAUCUUUAAGUACAAAAAUAAAUGCCAGUGAUGGAUAAAUUAACAAUCUCAACAAUAAACAAAGAUAUAAAUGGAACAAAACUAAAAGUGCAAAGCUUGAUCUUACACAAACAGCUGCACAACACCUGCCUCGAACUACCUUAACACCGCUCAACUGCAUAUGUGCAUGCCAGGAAAAUGAACUUGUGAAUGUCAAGCCAUUUCAAAUUUUCAAUCCAAUAUGAUCAAUGUAAUAUCUAUAUCUCGUAUAGUCUAAGCCAGUAAUAUUCAGUAUCUACCUACUAGACUUAGAUGCUUUCUAAUACAUAAAGCCUUAGAUGCUUGGGCCCUAUUACUGUGGUAUAUUGCAUUCUUGCUGCUUAGUUUUAUGGCUUCUGACUAAAAUCCAAUGGCUUUCUGCUACUGCUUGCCCUUGUAAACUAGUUAUUUUCUAUUUCCACCUUCAAAAAAGAAAAAAAAAACUCAAAUAACAAAUGAUAACUGCCAUUUUUUCAAAAUUUUUAAUGUCAUUUUUUUUCUGAAAAAAAAAACAACAAACAAAUGAACCAAUGUUUUUCAUGAUAACUCCAGGAACGUUUCAAAUAAAUCAAUUGAUCUAUAGUAGAGCCAGCAUAAAGAUGAAAGUUAUCAAGCCAUCAGCCUACAAGUUUAGCUCAGCUAACAAAUGAAAAUACUCUCUACUGAACAAUUCCUAUCAUAUAAAAUUACCAUGGUAAAAUCUAAUAAGCCAUUAUUAAUCUUGUAUGUGCAUACAACUUAUCUUUGAAAGAUCAAUAUGACAAAAAACUCGUAUAUGACAAAAAGAUUCCCACCUAACUUUAAAUGUGGGGAAAUGAACAGAUUGAAAGACAAUACGAGUGCAAGGAAGCUUUACAACUAACACGUGAUUUCCUUUCAAUGAUGAAAUCAGAACCAUUUCAGCUUAGGGAUAAAUUAACAUCAAUGCACAUAUAUAAUUACAAAAAAGAAAAAAGGAAAUAAUGAUAGAUCCGCACGAGAAACAUAUGAAACCAUCUAGUCACUGAAAAUGCCAUAAAAUAAGCAACGACAAAGAAAACACUUAGGUGUGGGUAAAGCAGAAUAAAGAAUCACAAUCAUGUGAAGAUCUAAAAGCAUUAAUACGGAAUUGAAAGAUGAUCAAGAAGAUGGUAACAAAACACAAGUUAAAAUAAAGAAAGAGAUACAAACAACAUUUUGUGAUGUCUAACAAGAAGAAUCUCACCAACUUUUAUCCUUGCAAUAGGCCUCUAGAUAUCAUUUCACGAAGAAGUUUCUCUGCGUUAUCAUUUUCACCUUUUUCAAACAGAGCACGAAUGAUUAUUUCAUAAGUCACAGCAUUUGGUAAGCAACCAUUGUCUUCCAUUUUUGACAAGAAAGCCAAUGCUUCAUGAAGUAGGCCCUCUUUGCACAGCCCAUUUAUCAUAAUAGUGUAUGUCCUCACGUCUGGACGAUAGCCUUUAAUGGAAAGAUCUUGAAAAAUCUCUUUUGCAUUUUUAAGUCUUCCACUUUUGCACAGGCCAUCUAUAAGUAUGUUGUAUGUAUAUAUAUCUGGAUCAAUGCCACUCUCUUUCAUUUGAUUGAAUAACAUAAGUGCCUUGUCAUGUUGUUUGAUAUUGAACAAAGCAUCCAUCAAGGAACUGUAAGUGACUAUAUUAGCAGGUUGACUUCGAUCAUGCAUCUUUUCAAGAAGCUCCAAGGCACAAAGGAUUCUCUUUGAUUUUCCCAAGCCAUCAAUUAGAGUACUGUAAGUUAUCGUGUUAGGAACCAAGUUUUUGCGACGCAUCUCUUCAAAGAGAUUCAAGGCAUCAUCCAUCAAUUUACUUUUGCACAGGCCAUUAAUAAUAAUAUUGUAACUUUGGAUAUCAGGAGCCAUUCCCACUGGGCCAUUGUGUCAAAUAUACAUUUUGCCUUGUUUAAUUCGUUAACCAAGCAAUACCCAUCCAUUAAACAAUUAUAAGUAACCACAGUUGGUUCCACAGCAUCUUUUGUCAUCACAGCCAACACACUCUUGGCAUCUUUGAUAUUUCCCUCCUUACAUAGUCCAUCAAUCAAAGUAUUAUAGGUACGAACAUUUGGAGUAAUGUUUUUCAGCAUCAUAUGAUUUAGUAAAUCAAUGGCUUCCUUGAGUUGACCCGCAAGGCACAAUCCAUAAAUUAGAGUGUUGUACGUGAUAACAUUGGGAGAAAUUCCCUUAGCAAGCAUUUCAGAGAAUAAAUGAAAAGCAUCAUUUAAAAGUGUAACCUUGCAGAGGCUAUCAAUAAUUGCAUUGUACAUGACGACAUCAGGAACAAUUCCAUGCCGUGGGAUCUUUCUCAACACUUGAAUAGCAGCUGAUGUGUGUCCGAUCUUACAGAGCCCAUUGAUCAACGUCCCAUAAGUAACUUGAUUAAACUGAAAUCCUUGAGCCAGCAUUGUGUCGUGAAGGUGCAGUGCUUUUUCAACUUUACCACAGAGACAGAGACCUUUCAGGAUUGUUGUCAAUGUUACCGUAUUAGGUUGAUAAUCCAUUCUGAAAAUCUUGGCCAAUACAGAGAAAGCAAGCUUCAUACGAUCCAUGCCGCAACAACAAUUAAUUACGAUGCUCAAAGUAUCUAUGCUGGGCGCGAUUCCCCUGACUUGCAAUUGCUGAAAAAGGG
RNAcentral lists this long non-coding RNA (58749 nucleotides) under Arachis ipaensis. Its description in RNAcentral is "long non-coding RNA (AIPA_LNC001313)". The record is from RNAcentral. Lineage: Eukaryota; Viridiplantae; Streptophyta; Magnoliopsida; Fabales; Fabaceae.